UGCUGGGUUCUAUGAGGAUCCCAGUGCUGUUACGAAAGGUUUAAUCUUUUUUUUUAAUUUUUUAAUUUUUUCAGCAUUUAUACAGAUGAAAUUUGGCUUCCUGAAGAAACCCAAAUCGUGUUUUCAGGGUGGAAAGCUAACCCUGUUGAAUUCGAUUCGGUUUUUAAUCGAAGCCGGCAUACUUUUUCUUAUGGUAGUCCGGAUAUAGUUCCGAUUUUCUGCGCUGCAUUGCCUCACAGCACCUGGAAUAGUUACCCUCAUGAAUUUGAAGACUUUGCUACUGGUUUGAUUUCAAACUUUCAUCACAUUGUUUCAGUUACAACUUGUUAUGUCUGUUUUCGUUUUCGGUUUACUGGAUUGUUUUCAGUCUUUUAGCACAUUGCUACUGGUGAAGUUUAAAUAUUUGGUAAUUGCGUAUGAUGCUUUCUUUUAUCAAUAUGUAUGUGUUAAUGCAGAUGCUUCCUUUCUGGAUGAGUGGUCUUUUGAUCAAUUUCAGAGCCUUCUGAAUCGGUCCAAAGAAGACCAGAAGUUGAAGGAGUUACUCUUACAGGAUAAUCUUGUUGUGUUUUUGCACUUACUUGGCUGUGAUUCAAAUGGUCAUGCGCAUAGGCCCUUUUCGUCCAUAUAUCUCAAUAAUGUUGCGGUUGUUGACAGUAUAGCUGAAAGGGUUUAUAAUCUUCUUGAAGAUUAUUACAAGGACAAUUGUACUGCAUAUGUAUUUACCGCUGAUCAUGGAAUGCAUGAUAAAGGUUGGAAUUAAUUCAUUCACUUAUAUAGAAAUUUUUUGCUCUUCUUUUUUCACUGAAUUGUUAUAAGUUUUUAUCUUCAUCAUUUUUUCCCCCUUGUAACAGUUCUUACGUGUUAUAAUUUUACUGAUAGGCAGCCAUGGAGAUGGACAUCCUUCAAACACUGAUACUCCCCUAGUUGUUUGGGGAGCAGGUGUUAAACAUCCCAAGCCAGUCUCCAACCAUUCUGAUUGCAGUUUUCGUUUUGUUGAUGAUCAUAUGCAUGAUGCGCCAACACCUAAAGAAUGGGGCCUUCAUGGCAUUGAAAGGGUGGAUGUUAAUCAAGCUGAUAUUGCACCUCUCAUGGUUGUACAAUUUGCUUUCCCAACUUUUUUCCCCUUUAAACUACCUUUCAAGUUUAAUCACUCUUAUUUGCUGAUUGAGUUUUCUGGCAGUCAACUCUUCUUGGUUUGCCUGGUCCUGUAAACUCAGUUGGAAGUUUACCUCUUGAUUACAUAGACAUGACAAAGGUAUAGUCAACCAGUUUGAUUGACGACUUUAUCUUUUCGUUGUAAAGGAUGUAAAAUGUUAUCACUUUUAUCUUUGCCUGCAUAUGCAUAUUCUAUUCGAUGAGUUUUCUGGUUAUUUGGUAGACAGCUGAAUUUUCUCUUUUCGUUUAAUUUUCCAGGAAGAUGAAGCUGAAGCUGUGGUUGCAAACUCAAAGCAAAUUCUCAACCAGUUUCUUAGGAAGUCACGUAUCCUUUUGUUAUCUGAUUACACACACACACACACACACACACACACAUAUUUAUGCGCUAUAGAUGACAACAAGGCAUCACUUCCUUUAAUCAUAACAUAUCCAAUUCGUUUAAUGAAAUAGCAUAUUAAGUUUAAAACUGUUGUUAUAUCUGAUUCUACUGGAGUUUUGAGGAGCGAAAGGAGGUAGACACGUCCUUUUUAUUGAUCUUGGAUUUCUUGACAAAAUUAGAAACAAAGGAGGCAAAUUCAUUAAAUUUUAAGCCUUUCAAACCACUGGCCGAUUAUUCCUCCCUAUUGGAUCAGAUUGAGGAUCUAAUAUCUAAUACAGACUAUGAAGCUGCAAGGAAGCUGUCUGAAGAUCUCAGGGAUUUGGCUUUGAAAGGACUACACUAUUUCCAAACUUACGAUUGGCUGAUGCUCAUGACAGUAAUUAUUCUUGGGUAUAUCGGUUGGAUGACCUAUAUUCUUCUCCAUGUGUUGCAAUCUUAUACUUCAUUGGCAGGGUAUAUGUUUAGAAAGGAGCAAGCAGAUCACCGGACAGAUAAUACCAGAAAAGUAAUGUUUGUGUAAGCUUGACCUCUUGUAAGCUUUGAUAGCGAUUUCUAAAUUGAAGGACGUAAUUCUAAAAAAACCUAUGUUUUUUGUUAAAAAAAAAUAAAAAAUAAAAAAUAAAAGACGUUUGUGACUAUAUUAUAUAUGAAAUUUGAACAUCUAGAAGUGUUAAUAUUCACCCUGUAAUGUAACCCAUAAAUCUCAUUAUUUUCUGUAGGUACAACUUUGUGGAUGCCUUUUUCUGGGACUACUUAGUAUAGUACUGUUUAUGGAGCGUUCUCCUCCUCUUUACCACACAUACACGUCAAUGACAGUAUUUCUAUGGACACAAAUAUUUAGUGAAUAUUGGUUCAUCAAAGCAUUAUGGAAAGAUUUAUAUGGAAGAAGAAUCAAUUACUUUGUGAAAAUUCUAGCCACUGGUGCUUUCUCAGUAUUCAUUCUUGAAUUCCUGGUAUUGAAUCAGAACUGUAAUUUUUCACACUGCAAGCCAUGGGAUUAUUGUACCCUACAAUCCUGAACAGCGUCUUUUGGUGAUUCCUGCAGGUUAAUAGCUUUACUGAGAGGAAGCUAUACACUUGGUGUUUCCUAGUUUCCGGAGUCAUAUCCUUUCUCUAUCUCUUAAAAUCAAUUCCAUGGAGAUCUGGCAUACCAAUCUUUGUUUGUGCUGCAUGUUGGUUCUUGUCUGUAUUUACUUUGAUGCCAGCAGAAAUUCCAGAUAAUAAUCGUCUAGUGUAAGUCAUCUUAAUUCCUGAAUGUUUCUUUCAGGUGUGUGCAUGUGUUGGGUCGGGGGUUAAUUUUUCAAAUAGUUAUGACUUCAUUGUAAAUGUAAGGAACUUCAGAAUUGUUAGCACAAUCUCUAAUUCAACCAAUACCUUUAUUGUGCUCACAUCUUUGUAUGGGAAGGCUGGGCUUUGUUGAGAUUUCCUUCUUUCUAGGAGGGUAAACCUGGUAUGUGUUCAAAGCACAAACCCAGCACGUGCCAAUAUUACUAUUUGCAGGAACUCGAAUCAGCUUUGAUAAUUGUGUUUGUUAUGUUUGUGUAAAAUUAAGAAAUGAAUUGAAUGCACAUUUGAUUAAUCAAUAAAGAUUAAGCUAAUUAUGAAGCUUUUGUGACGAAUCAUGUUUGCAGGAUUUGGAGUGGAGUUAUGAUUAUUAUGAUCGGAGUAGCUGCCAGACUGCUAGAUCUGCGCACUGAAGGAAAGUAUUGGCUAAGUAUCUGUAAUCAUGACAAGAAGAAACCUAAAUUUCCCAUGCUCUUCCAGUUACAGGUGCUUAACCUAUCUCUGUACUUGGUUGGUUUGGAAAGAAUAUAAAGUAACUUAACAAGUCUGGAGAUAAAUUUUAGAUUUUUGGACCUUUGUGAAUUAGGCUCUUUUGGUUGGAUUGUCAUCCAUGAUGGUGUCGAUAUCAACCUCUCAUAGAACAGAGAAGCAGGAACUACUCGCUGUGCACCAGAUCAUAAAUUGGUCCAUCGCUGGUAUGCAUUCCAACUCUUCCCUAUUAGGUUAAUAUUUAUACUUCUAUUCGGGCCUUUUAACAUAUCCGGCUUGUAAGUUAUUUUCUCUUUAUAAUUGAUAUGUCAGUUGACAGGUAUUUAAUGCCUGAAAAGUUUAUAACUGCAAAUUACAUGUCUAUUGAUAUUGAUCUUUAAUUUGUCGGGUCAUAGGUUUCUCGAUGGUACUUCCAUUAUUUUCAGCAAAUGGUCUCUUGUCCCGGCUUACUUCCAUAUUUCUCGGUUUUGCUCCCACAUUUCUUCUAUUAUCUAUCGGGUACAGUCCAUCCAUAUGCUAACUUUUAUGGUUGCCUUCAUUUAACAGUUUUUUUAAUAUGCAUAAUGUUAGGAUGAUUUUUUUGAUCUUUUCCUUCAUUCUCAAAACAUAUGCAGAUAUGAAGCUGUUUUCUACGGUGCUCUGGCCCUUGUACUCAUCUCUUGGAUACUAGUUGAAAACACACUUAUUUACUCAAGUAAGGUGAAAAGGUUGUCAAGUUCCUUUAGCGAUAUGGAGGAUAAUGUCAUACUUGAUGGUAGAUACUUACAGCUGUCUGACGUGAGAAUUCCGUUAAUCUUUGUAAGUCCUUUCUCUUUUCUUUUUGGAAAAUAUUUAUCUGAUUGUUGGAGAAAUUUAAUGAUAUACAUUGCCCACUCUUUUUGAUAAUUUUACUGCUCAUCAUGGUAAUCUCCGAUGUCUUUUGUGGUUUUAGAUGGUUUUAUUCAACGUUGCUUUCUUUGGAACGGGAAACUUUGCGAGUAUUGCAAGUUUUGAGAUUUCAUCAGUGUAUCGGUUCAUUACUGUCUUCAGUGUAAGUGAAGGGUGAACUUUCCUCAGUAUUUAUCAGAUUAGUCGCUAUUACUUACCUGAUAUUAUUUGGUUCUAAUUGCAGCCGUUUCUCAUGGCCGCCUUACUUAUCUUCAAGUUAUUCAUUCCGUUCCUGCUAGUCAUGUAAGUACAGUUACAAUUUUGUGUGUGAUACGUGGUUGCAAGCUGUUGAAACAUCCUUCUUUUAAGCCAUAAGAAAUUGUAAGCAAUUGGGUUCUCAUAUAAUUUGUGUUCGACUGACUUGCAGAUGUGUAUUCAGUGCAAUAACAAAGCUAAACCGACUUCCACGGUUGGCAUGCUAUUUUCUCGUUAUACUAUUUUCAGACGUAAUGACUAUGCAUUUUUUCUUCCUGGUAAGUUACUAUACUCUUCAGAUUUUGGACUCGUAAAUUUUCUCACCGCACCUGUCUCUUGUAACAAUACGAGAGUACCCAAUAAAGUAACCACACUAUACAUACUACACAUGCAUGGACGAAUGCUUCUUAUCAUACAGCAUCAGAACAAUCGUUUCUAGCAAACCCUACUGACAGUUUUUAUCGUUGUUAGGUCCGGAAUACAGGAAGCUGGAUGGAAAUUGGUAACAGCAUCAGCCACUUCGGAAUCAUGAGUGCUCAAGUUGUCUUUGUGCUUUUGCUCUUUGCUCUCACGAACAUAUACACGAAAGAUAUCGACAUUGGUUCAGUGGACUGCUCCUCUCGGAAAGCAAUGUAGGUCGUGUUAAAUUGGGACUUUGGGCAUCAAAAUAAGUCACCAGUGUUCAGGAAAAGCGAGCAUUAACGCUGCUAAGGCACACGUCUUGCGGUCUUCUGCAAUUUUUUGCCGUUUAUUCCUGCAACUGCUGAUUGCUCGUACAAAGUUCGAUUGAAAUUUAAUGAGAGUCAGAGCAAUGCGAUUUUCCAAGUGUUCCCCAAAGAUCCCACAACGUUCGAUUGAAAUUUUGGCACUCUCCUCACAUGUCUUGAUUAGUUGAUACGAUUUAACCAGUUAUCCCAUUUAGUUAUUCAUUGAUCAAUUUUGUAACUACAUUUAACCAGUACAUACUCCUCUUUUGGCUGUCUGAAAUAUUUGAUUGAUCGUAGAUACUAUCUUCCAUCUCGAAACAAUAAAAGUCGGCCUUAUAUUGGGAGAAAUUCUUGGCUACGAACGACCAGACCACAUGGUUGUUUAAGAGCAUCUUUAACCAGAGUCCCAUCACUAUUUUUGAAGAAUCAUUUACGAACUUAAAGGGAAUAUACUUGUUCCUAAAAGAAAAUUAGUUCCAAUGGAGUGUCUUAUAGUAUAAUCUUUAAAUUUAAGGACUAUGAAUUAAAAAAUCAUUGUUAAUUUCACAAGGAGAAACCUUAAAAAACUUUCACAACCGUUGUUUUCUCAUCAAACAAAAGAGAAAAGUAACAGGACCUGCCCCGUUGGAAGCUGCCCAGUAUUUUAGAGUUCCAUCACGUGCUCGCGUGCUGGGGACUUUCCUCGAAGAAAGAUGGUAAUCUACUAUAAAAUCAAAAGUAACGUUAUCUACAUACUUAUUUUACUUUUAAAACAUCCCUAUACAAUCCUUAAUUGUAAAGUAAUUGUAAGGUAAUUGCGAUCCACUGGAAGUCACCAAGUAUAGAAACAAACAUUGGAGAUGCUCUAAUUGCACGCACAAAACACCCAUUCUUGCCGAUGGUCCCACCCUGCGCCCCUUGCGCGCAUGCGAGCGUUCGUACUCAAGGAUUGCCCCUUGUAAUUGUAAAAGCAAAUAAUAGAAAAAGACGACCAUAUGGUAUUGCUGGUAGGUGAACUGGGAAAGAAACAGAACGGUCAACGGCCAUACCCGAGCUCUCAGAUUCACUAGUUAGAUUCCUUUGUAAAUUUCUUUGCAUCCUUCCGCGAACGUUCAGUCGUUAAAAUCAGCAAUGUAUUAAAUAUUCAUUGCAGGAAGCAAGAGGGAAUAAAUAAUGCAAGUGGGAAUAAUUAACCUGAAUUUUAACACGCAAACGUACAAAAGAAGACAAGGAAAAGCUACGAGGCAAAGGUCUAGGGCCCUCCCUUUUCCUCCGAGAAACUUUCAGGAACAAGUUGCGUGGACGACGACCUAGACUUUGCUGUGCAUCGUCGACUUGGUGGGAAGUUUCGUCGUGGGGCCUUUUGAUUGGUGAGACAAAGACGUCCAUAAUAUUUAAUAACGAUAGGAUUGAUUCGUAUUCUAUAUAAAGAGAGACAUAUUGACCAUUCCGGUAUCCUCUUCUCUCCAUCUACUGUGUGUUCUAAGCAGAUCGGCAAAAGCUUGAAGAUGAACGACCAGUAAGUCAACUUCGACUUCAAACUCCUCCGAUCCUUGUUUUUCUUUGAAUCCUUUGCCAUGAUUUUUCUUGUGUUGUCUUGAUUAAGCGGAAAAUGGUCUGGAAUGGCUAAAAGUGUGUUUUGCAACUAUCAAAAGUUCUUGCGGUUAAAUCUGGCAAAAAAAACUUGCAAAACGCUUUUAGAUAGACGGUAUAAGCUCUUUUCGGAGAAGCGUGUGCUAUGUCCGCCUUCUACAAGCACUUCUAUAUUUUCAAGUGCUUUUUCGAAUAGCACUUGAGUAUUUAAUUAACAUUUCUAUAUGUUCAUGGUAAAAGAUAAGUGCUUAUGAGUGAAGUGAAUCUUACGAAAUACAAUAGCUUAAUAAUCGUCCUUAUAGUUUACCAAAGUGCAAUUUCAUUCUUACAAGUAUUUUGCUAAAGUGAUUUAUGACCGCACGAUAUACGAUGAACGGAAGUGAUUGGAGGAUCCUCUUGGGUCAUACACCUCUUAAUUUUCGGAUCGUCAGAUCAAAUGAAGUGAGGAAGAUCAAUGAACAAUAAUUAACAAGGUUGUGUGAGAGGUGCAAAAUGGGUUGGAGAAUAACACUUUGCUAGAAAUAUAACGAAAUUUCUAUAGAAAACUAGCUUGUUUGAAAUAUUUUUUAAACCAAUUUUUAGUACAAAUGAAAAAAAAGCUUGGAAAAGCACAUGCAGUGCUUCCUUGCAAAAAGCACGUAACUAGUGUUUUUUGAAGGAAGCACUUUAAACGCUUCUUAUAAGUGUUUUUGGAAUCUAAAAAUAUUUUCUUUAAAAACGUUUUUAAUUAUUUUAAAACCAUUUUCAAACGAAAUGCAAUUAAAAAUACUUUUGGUGGUUAGACUGACAUUUUCAGCUAUUUCAACAGAUGUUUCAAGCAUGUUUGUUAUUAUAGUUGGAUGCUAUUUGCUUACACCCUCCAUUUAACUUUGCUUCAAUUUUUUGUUGGUGAUGACAGCAUUAGCAGUGCUGGGCUUGAACUAGCAAAUGUGCUGGUGACUUCUCUUCCCCUGCACCAGUCAUGGAACGCGGUUCUUGAUCAGAAGCAAAAGCUCCCCCCAGCUGCUGAUCCAAACCAAAAAAUGGCCUUGGACAUUAGUGAAACCAAGCACUCAAACACCACCAUCAUAUCUUUUCUUACUUCACCCGUCACGCUUCACGAUCAACAGCGAUGGUUUCGUUUACUCCCAAGAACGCAGAUUUUUCUCUCUUUGAGUUUUUGUGCGGCAAAAACACCCCAAGUUUCUCCAUCAAUGAAUUGGCAAUCAACUUCUUCAAAUUGAACCUCACAAACCUCGAUAUUUGGCGAAAAAAGGUGAGUAUUAUUGUCUUUCUGAUAACUGAUAAUGUUUAACCGCUUUGACGACUCUUAAUGUUAGUGAGAAACAGUUAAAAAUCAUAUUUAUAUUGCUAGAUUACUUUUCACUUAUUUAGUUUGGCUUCUUUGACAAACUGUUUAUGUUAACAAAAAAUGCUUACAAAUCCCUCAUUUAUAGAGUUAUAAAAGCCGGAUAUAUUAACAGUGGAGUCCUUUCUUUGUUUGUUUCAAAACCGAGUUUAAGUUUUUUUUUGUUUUUUUUACUAUGAAUGUAGUUUGAGGAACUUAUUUAUAAAGACGUCUCCGAAUUGAUUAUAUAGAAGUUCAGUAAUUGACCAACUUUUAUGUAAUAUUUCAGCUGGUAGAAAGCAGCAAAUCCUCACGGAUAGUUAUCACUGGACAUUCUUUUGGAGGUGCUGUGGCUACCCUUUUCACCCUAUGGCUGCUGCAAAGCCUUGACUUGUCGAAAGCGAAACGCCCCCUUUGCAUCACUUUCGGUUCACCCUUGAUCGGUGACGAACAACUCCGAAAAUGUGUGUUGGAAUUCUCAACAUGGAGUUCUUGCUUCUUGAAUGUAGCCUCCAUCAAUGAUCCUGUACCUAAAGUCUUCCUAACUUCGCAAGGGAGUGGUUAUAAGCCUUUCGGAACAUUCCUACUGUGCUCCUCUUCGGGUGGUUCUUGCAUUGAGGACGCUGAUGCCAUUUUGCAACUAUUGGUGGAAACCAGCUCUCAGUGUGUUCAAAAUCCAGUUCCGAAUUCAGGGACUCAGUUGUUUGAUUACGGAAAGAUUUUGAAUGAUCUCAAGACCAAGGCAUUGUUUAGAGAUGUCUUUGAGUUGGUUGAAGAGGAUAGAGUUCCACUUAAUGCUGGAAUUAAAACACAGUUGGCAGCAAUAUUAGGCGUUCUCAGCUCACAGGUAUCAAACUUUCAACAUGAAUAUCUGAUUUGAUGAUAGAUUUUGGGAAAUGGUUUCCGCACAAACCUGUGUAUUUCUAUCUCUUGAUUCUCCUUUGAUUUAUUUAAUCCAAAGACUAGAAAUAAACACGGGUGUGCAGGGGGAGAAUAUGAUUUUGCGGAAAUCACAUCCCAUGUUUACUUCUAGCUACUAACUUUUCUCUCAACUCCUUUUGUAAAAGUCAUUGCAGCAGCAACAACCCCACAUAAAAUUCGAGAGUCUGAUAAAAAAGAUGGUCAAUCACGAACGUAGACUAGCGAUGCAGAAGACGAAGGAUUACAGCUCCUUCUUGAAAUUGAAUGAGGUUAAAAAGUACAUGGCCAACAUGGAAUGGUACAAGAAGGAGUCCAAAGACAUGGGAAUUGGAUACUAUGACAGGUACAGAAACACGCGUUACCCGAGUGACAUUAAUGCCGAUGAGUUCAAGAAGAGGCUGUCAAUUUAUUGGCAUGACACGGUUACUGAAGCUGAGAGCAAACCACAGAAAGAAGGAGGCGCAAUGCGUAUCCGUUUUCUUUAUGGUGGAACGAAUUACAGAAGGAUGAUCGAACCGCUUCACAUUGCUGAGUACUACAGGGAAGGUGGAAAAAAUUACAAAGAGAAAAGGCCUCGACAUUUUGUUCUUUUGGAGCAAUGGUUCAAUGAGGAGGAGAAAAAGAAGAGGGAAAAGAAAGAGAGGGAAGAAAGGGAGAACCCGCAACAGCGCAGCGCAAGCAAGUCCAACCCAAAAGCGAACAGUGUGGCUUCUAGUCUGAAUGAUGAUUCUUGUUUUUGGGUGCACGUCGAGGAAGCACUUAUCUUGUGCGACGAACUAGCGAGUAAUCCACAUGCCAAGCAAAAGCUGAUCGAAUUUGAGUGUUACGUGCUGGAUACGCUCAAGAAUUUCGCAGUGACACCUGAUAUUUUCUUGCCGCAGAGCAGCUUCAUGCGAUGGUGGAACAAGUAUAAAGAGAUUGUGGGAAGUAGCUACUCCUCAGAACUCACAGAAGUCAUGAAGCGUCACACUUAUCGCAGGUAUGCCGAUGGGGUCUCAGUUCUUGCUGGUCUAUAAUCCAAGAUAAUUAAGUUUUAAGCAAUCAAUUAAAUCAGAUAAAGCAAGAUAAGUUUUGCUGUAUUCAUCACGAUCUUCAUAGAGAGAGACGUGCAGUACUUGCAGGACUUGUUGGUGCUACUACGUUUGAAUAUUUUUGUUUGUGGUUUCUUUUUGUUUUGGGCUCUAGCAUCUAGCUCUCUUGUAAGAAAAAUAAUGUGUGGGGGAGUUGUUUCAGUUAUAUUGUUGUAAUUUCCACUUCAUAAAAGUAAUGACGUUUGUUGUAUUUUGAUUUCACUAAGUUUGAGAACUACCCUAAUCAGCAUUUAUAAUAAGUUGAAAUUUACGUUUGUCGUGGUUUACGUUGUAUUACUCUUCAUAUACCUAUCAAGUACAAAAGCAGUAAAUACAUAUUUUAGCCAAGUGACUAAGUGUGGAACUGGGAUUCAAAGCUAAAGUAGAAUUACUUAUGUAUCCCAUAAUGUAUACCUUCUGAUGGCUUUUCACAUAGCACGCAACGUGUGAUUAAGGAACAAAAUGGUAUACACCUCGAGAUAGGUAAGUCCAUCAGCUAGUAAAUUAGCUUGAUGUAAUGUAGUCACGUGACGAGUAAGAACGAAGAAAUGAGUGUACAGCUUGGGACACAGUACAUAUAUAUAGUAAAACUACAUGUAUGUAUGCUUUGGGUGAGGCCGGCCAAGAGGGAUCUCCAUUUUUUUUUCAAAAAAUAGGAAUUAGUUGUGAGACUCACUCCACAUCGAGCUUCAACGGUCUGAACCGUUUAUUUAUUAAGAAGAAAUUAGGUUAUCAUCAUUCCUUUUGCUACUCCAUUAAUUAAAAUCCUAUUUUUUUUCAAUUUUUGAUCAAAGUCCUUGGGUAUUAAUAACAUCAUUAAUUAUUUCAAUAAUAAAAUAUUUUUUUAUUUCUUAAUAUAUUCAUUUAAUGUUAAAAAUGUUACAAUUAGUAUAUUUAUAUUUAUGACUAAAGUUUUUACCAUAUAUUUUUAGUUUUAGUUUGUACCCAUUUUUAAUUUGUAAUUCUUUUUUAAUUUGUACCAAUUUUCUUUUCAGUUUUAAUUUGUACCCAUAUAUUAAUUUCUUUUUGUGCCCAUAUUUUUUUAAAGUUUAUUUGUAUUUGUACCCAUAUAUUUUUUUUAUUUGUACUUUUUAUUUUGCUAAAUGUACCCAUGCUAAUUAUAUGUACCCAUUCAUGUAAAACUUUUUAAUCUUAAAAUGUACUCAUUCUUAAAUAUACCAAUUUGUUAUAUGUAAAAUGUACCUUUUUUAUAUAUAUAAAAUUUAUUCAAUUUUUUUCUAAUCUAUUUUAAACUUAUAUGGGUACAUUCUUUUUUCUUUGAUUUUAAAAUGUAUCCAUGUCAAGUUUAAUCGAAGAAAUUUACUAAUGUUAUUAAGCCUAAUAUCUUUUUUUUUUUUUAUGAUUUUGAAGAAUGUACCCAUGUUUUGAUACAAUAAAUUUUUUGGUUAAUUUUGAUGAAUGUACCCAUGUUUAUAUAUAUACACACACACAAUAGUAUAUUUAUAUUUUAAUAUUUUUAAUCCCACAAAUUAUGGUUUUUUUAUUUAAAAUCUCAUUUAUAUAAACAACUAAAAUUUCUAAUUUUUAAUUUAAAAAAUAUAGUAACAUACAUAGAAAUAAAUUAUCAUAUUAAUUUCAGGGACCUAGAUAAAAAAUUAAAAACUAAUAAGGUUUCAAUCAAAGAAUAUUCAUAAUUAAGGGCCGCAUCCAAAGUCUCCCUUUUUAAAUCUUGAUUUAUAGAUCAUUCUUGCAAAAAUUCAAGUCCGAAACCAUUUGCUAAUUUAAUUAUCACGAUAAAAUUUUAAUGUUUUAUUAGAACAAAACGUUCGUCAGCUCUUUGAACUCAAUUAGAUGCCUUAAAUAUUUUCGAUUUGGCUAAUAUUUUACAAAAUUAAUCUGGCACAUCCUGCCUCCACCAUAGCAAAAUAUUGUUCGCUUUGGGUCAUGCCCUCACGGAUUUGUUCUUGGGCUUCCACCCAAAACGCAUCAUGCUAAGAAGAGAUGAGCAUGUACAUAUAAAGCCAGGGACCAACCUUCACCCAACCGAUGUGGGAUCUUACAACCCACCCCCUUAGGGAGACCGAUAUCCUCGUCGGCACAUCCAAGCAGACGGUGAGUCUGGCUCUGAUUCCAAAUUGUCACAUCUCGCCUUCACCGUAACAAAAUAUUGUCUGCUUUGGGCCACCCUUCAUGGAUUUGUUCUUGGGCUUCCAUCCAAAACGUUUCAUGCUAGGAAGAGACGAGCAUGUACAUAUAAGGCCAAUGACCAACCUUCACCCCACCGAUAUGGGAUCUUACAUAAUCUAUGAAAUGAAACUUAAAAAAAAUACACAAUUCAAAUCUUUAAAAUUUGAUAUGGUGCCUUUCCCUUAAAAUGAGGUAGUGAUUUAGAUAGACCAUGUCAAUUUGCCAUGCCAAAUAUUAGGAAAGUAGAGUGUAGACAUGGGAAGAAAACCCAGCUUAGAUAUGGGACCCACAGGCACAUGCAGUUCUCAUCGAUCUCAAUAAUUUUCAACAAACCUUUAGAGCAAGUCCACCGGAGUGGUUUUUGCCCAGCACCCUGUCCAAAUAACAAGCUGAGGGACAGGGAAUUCACUUCAGCUCGUCGGGCUGCCUGGCACACAACCCAUGCCAGUCAACAAAUUAGCCCAUUUUUGACAGACCCAAGAGCCGGCCUAUUUGGCUGGCGCGUGGACUGCAUGCGCGCUUGGCAGCGAGUAGAAGACAAGCCGGCAGGCGCUGUUAGCCCACUUGUGCUGCAGCAACGUGGCUCGCUUAGAGCCGUUGGAUUUCCAACGGUAACAAAAAUUUAAAUUUUACUUUUAAACUGGACCUUUCGAUCACAGAUCAACGGUCCACGUUUUAUCCCCCUCCCCAAAAAAAGGGUCAAACGGUCAGAUUUAUAGCCGUUGGCCACGUGGCAGAUCAUGGGCUCUUGGAUUUGAAUAUUUUUCAAAUCCAACGGUCCAGAUUAAUUAACUACAUUAAAAUUAAUUAAAAAAAAUUAAAAAGUAUUUUUUUUCUAUAAAUACCUAACCCUCAUCUUCCACCUUACACCACAUUUCAAUAUUUUCUACACUUUCUACACUUUCUAUAAAUACCUAACCCUCAUCUUCCACCUUAGCGGAAAUCUAUUCACAAAAUAGUACGUUCGGAUAAUGACACGUGGCGUGACGAGAUUGGUUAAAAAUCCCAUCCGAAAUAAAACUAUUUUAUUUUUGUAUUCUUUUAGAAAAAAUUUAAAAAUAUUUUAAAUGGGCUGGGUGCCAGCGCAUUUUGUAGGGGUGGAGAUCGUUUGUGCCAGCGCAUUGUUUUAGGGGUGGAGAUGCAUUGGCCUAUUACUGUUCAUUGGAGUAUAUUACUGUUCACUGAAGUGGAUAAAUGGGCUGGGUGCUGGCACAAGGUCCUUAGGGGUGGACUUGCGCUUAUGUUUUGAUUCGAACAGUCUCCCACUUUCGAUUCUUCCAGUCCUACUGCAAUUGUCCUUUCGUGCUUUUUGCUCGGAGGGCAAGGAGCAAUUUUUACUCUUUACUUUAUAAGUUUAACCGCCCAUUAAAAAAAUAAUUUUUUUUUGAAAAUUAAAAUUGGUUUUCAGAAUUUUCUUUUCAAUUUUUGAUUUUCAAACGAAUCUUAUGAUGUUUAUAUGGGCAAAAUACAUUAACGUGUGCAUGAACAAAGAGGAGCACGUCGAAACCGAGAAAAAGUCUAAAUUUUUUUAUGUGGUUCAAUAUCUUAGUGAAUGAAGCGUUAGAUUUCUACCCAUGCAUUCUGGAUUUGAAAUCCUCCCAUUUUUUAAAUUAUUAUAAUAAUUUGAACAUCUCCUAAUAAUAUGGUACGAAUUUAUUGCUACCGUAAUAUUCCAAUCAAACAAAACAAUGACAUGUGUACAUUUUUCAAUACGUGACACUGACAUUGUAUAGUUAAAUUGAUCAAGGUGCUAUGUGGAAGAUGAUCAUCUCCAAAUCCAUUUUGUGGGAAUCCUAGGGAUUCUCACAUCAUAGCCAUUCAUCGUACAUCGUGCUUGUCAAUUUUCGUCGUGUACUAUUUGUGUUUAAUUUUAAAUAAAAAAAGUCAAAUGAUUUCUGACCACACACGAUGAAUGACUAAGAUAUGAGGAUCCUUAGGAUCCGGAUAGAAUCCAAAUCCGUACUACAUGACGAUAAAAUUGUUCUAUAUAAAUUGCUCUCUAAAAUUAGGUCGACAUCGUCCUUUUUUAAGUUGGAUACAACACACAAUUAGCCCUUGGAUUCGAAAAUACAAUUGGAUCGUCGUCAUUUAUACGAUUUAAUGGAACACUAGUCCAAAUUGGAGUGGGGCCCAUUUCCUUUCCAAUAAAAUAGCCACGUUGAUGUUGGACUGUUGGAUUAGCGACGUUGAUGAGCUUUUAGUGCGCUAUUUAGCUUUAACGUUGCAUAUGAUCCAUCACGUGACGAACAAUAUACGCGCCAGAUACAACGUUGUAACUUUUAACCUUUCUCCCCAUUAUCCACCUAAUUAUCUCAGCCUCCAUUUUAUGACAAUUUAAUAUCUACAAUCUUUUGCUAAUAGUUGGGGGGUUUUCUUAACUAAGAUGUUUGUGACUCUCUAAUGUAUACAAAAUUGUACAAGAUUAACCACAACCGUACAAUGAUGACUGAACUCUGAGUUCCCAAAGUGGACCACACUUAGGUGAUUCUGGAGAAAUUUAGGUGCAAUUGUCACACUGUCAAAUAAUGUUAAUCAGGUUUAAUAAUAAAAAAAUUAGUGUUGUCGAACCACAGCUAUACUGGAGGAAGAAAGUCCUCGUUAAAGGAGGGAAAAGUUGAUAUUGGUGUCACGCUCGACCUUGUCGAGGGGGAUGAAGGUGCGGUAGGUUUAAUACUCGAAUUAACCAAAGAGUGAUGUUAUCUGCACACCUUCUUUUAAGUCUCACACACUCCUUGUUAAUUUAUGUCACAUGAUCAUCUUUAAUUCAUUAGAUUCGAUGACCAAUUAUUGAGAGUUGUGUGUGAAAGAUAAAAAGAGGUUAGCAACACCCUUAACUAGAGGUGGUAAAUCAACAUGUUGGGUUGUUAAUGGUUACUCAUUAAGACUCAUUUAGUUUGAUUUCAGCUUACACCAUUAUCACCAUCACAAACCCUACCUCUAUAUUAUGAUGAUAUCAAAUUAAACGAGUCUUAACGGGUACUCAUUAACAACUAAAUGUGUUUAUCUCCACCUUUACACUUGUUGAUGCACAAAAUCGGGUCGAUCUUGGACCAACGUAAAUCCGACCGUGAAUCACAUAAACGCACAAGAACACAAAGAUAUAUCGUGGUUCACCUCAAGUUGAGGCUACGUCCACACUGGUGUUGAUUCCGUUUCACUAUGUAAAUGAAUGUUGAAUAUACAUGGAGGCUAUAGAGGCAGUGUUUACUCUCUUUGCUAUUCUGUUUGCUUUCUCGUUUCCCCUCUGUCUGUUUCCAUUUCUCUUUAAGUGAGUGUGAGGGAGCCAUUUUAUAAAAUAAGGGUUUCCUCCCAUCUUACAUGAAUCAUGGGCUAAGUAAUGAAGCCCAAAUACUGAGACCCAAUAUAUGGUACAACAUAAGUCCCCCAAGUCUUCAGUCAAGAGAGUCUUUUGGCUGGAGACUUCAAAUUCAAUCCAUGUGCAGGCUGAAAUGACUAGAUGUCGUUCAGAACUAGUACUCGACAUAAGACGGUGCUUAACAUGAAGCAAUAAUCAGCUAGAGGUAGCACACGUUGCGAGGCUGCUCGACUAGAGGCAAUGCUCGCGGCGAGGCGGUUGCUUGGCUGGAGGCGGUGCUGGUUACGAGACAGCUCAACUUGUGGCAUUCUUCAUUGCGAGUAUGCACUAAAUGUCAGUGUGUGCUCAUUAUGAGUUAACUUUCGACAUGACUCGGGUCCACUUGUCGAGUUCGCAUAUUGGGUCUAUGUGUCAAGUCCGCGGAUCAGGUCUAUAAGUCGGGUCUUUGAGUCGGGGCCAUCCGUAGGGUCUUUGAGUUGGGUCCGUAAGUCGAGGUUCGAGCUCAAAGGUGUCCAAUCUCGUAAGUGCCCGAAUGAAUGGGUGUCCAAGCACAUAGGUGUCCAAAUGAGCGAGCGUCUGAGCAAGUGGGUGUCUAAACGAGCGAGUGUCUAAGCAAGUGGGUGUCCGGUCAGACAAGAGAUCAUCGUUCGAACUAAAUCUUUGUCACCAUAAGCAUGUGGCUCAUCGAUCUAUAAGUUGAUCAGUAACAAUGUUGAUCAACGGAGUCCUGGCAAUAAAUAAUAGUAUAAGCAUGAAUGCAUAAUUAAUAAAUCAAUCACAGAGUUUGGCAAAAGUAUAAUGUCAUACUAUGCAAAUUGUGUGGUAAAUGACUUGUUUCAUAUGUGACAUAGUUAAUGACAUCACAGUAUCACUAGGCAAUGAAUAAAUAUUGCAUAAGUAAUUGCCUAAAUAUGUAGGUCAUUAGUGAAAUAUGAUAGAAAGCGUACUGAGCAUACGUGACUAUUGUAGCAUGUAAUCUUAAUAUAAUGACAAUGGGAAGACACACAAUAUAUUAUAUAAAUAUAUUUUCAUUCAAAUAAUGAGGAUAUCUAAUUUGGUCAGACCAUGCCACUAGCUAUAGUAAUUGUGGGGUGAUAAAAUAAUAAAAAUAAAGGUAUGUGGUAUAGUGGGUGUAAAGAAUAAAGAGGGUUUUAGGUGGAUUUGAUCAGUAGUCAUGUUGAAAAUAAAUAAAAUAUUUAAAUAAUGAAUUCAGUGUUCAUGAAUGAUUAAAGCUGGCAAGACUAAGGACAAGUGGUCUUGUAAUAAACAUUACAUAAUAAUAUAAAAUAUUAAUAGACAAUGACAUUGAGAAAACAUAAUGAUGGGUUUCUUUCAUGGCCGACAAUAUCAAAGGGGGAUAAUAAUAAAAUUAUUAUAAGCAAGCUUAUCUUUUUCCUGGUUUUCCCGUGGGUUUUUUUCAAUGGGAUAGUGGGUACAUGUCCUCGUGAAGAGCUACAAGGCACAUCAAAGCUUGGAGCUUGAAACCCAUUUGGGAUUUUGAGUUUGUGUAUAAGUAAAAGUGAAGCAGGAAAGCAAGAAGGUGAGCAGAAUGGUGAAGUUGGUGAACUUCGCUAUGGAUCCAACGGCUGAGAAACACUGAGGCUCUAUUUUCUCAUGCAGGUUUAGUUUGUAACAGUGAUGCUUAUGUUCUAAUUUAGCUCUCAAGAUCUGCACAGAAAAUGUAGAGAGAUAGAGAGAGAGAGAUGCGGUGGUGGCUAUGUUUCCAUCGUUGCUGCCGUGAUGGGGAGCUGGAACAGAAGACAUGGGUUUUGCAGUGAUUGUGCAGGUUUUUGGUUCUUAGGUUUCUACAGAUUCACGGUGGAGGUUGUGAGGUUUGAUGAAAAAAUGAAAGAGAACCAACAUAGCUUUUCGUGUCGUUUCCCACAGACGGCGCCAAAUGUUGAUGCACAAAAUCAGUGAGGACUGUGGUACAACAGAAAGUGUUAAGUUUGUGACCUUAGCUAGAUUGCUCCGGUCACUAGUGUGGAUAAGUAUGUAAAUGGAUAGAGACAAGGAAUCAAACUCAAGAUGUACGUGGUUCAUCCAGAUUCGCUACGUCCACGAAGUAUAUGAGUUCUCUUUAAUUGUGAAAGAUUUACACAAGUACAUAGGUUCAAGCUCUCAUUUAGUGAGUACUAGUGAAUGAUUUAGUACAAAUGACAUUAGGGAUUAUUAUGGGAGAAUGAUCUCCUUUUAUAGAAGAGAGUUUCUAGUUUUGUUCUGGCCUUGACACAUGUCAUGCUAUGAUUGGCCUUUGAUGUUGACACGUGUCGUCCUGUGAUUGGCCUCUUGGUGUUGACACGUGUUACGCUGUGAUUGGCCUCCUAGUUUGAGGGAAACUCUUCUGGGUCCUUGAUGGUAUAACGUUGACCAGUGCUUGGUAGUUUCGAGAUUGAUCAAGUAUGGUACAAACAACACUUAACCAAAUAAUGACGAAAGGUUGACAUUUCAUAUCGUCUUCUUUCAUAAGCUUGAUAGUCAUAAAAUAGAAAUAAGGAUCCUCUUCGAAUUAUCUUUGUGAGGAUCCCGAGGAUUCAUGAACUGUGUCCAUUCAUCGUACAUCGUGCAAUCAGAAAUCAUUUUAAAUUUUAUUAUUUAAAAUUGAACACAAACAGUAUUUAACAAAAACUGGCCGCAAGAUGUACGAUGAACGAACACGAUUCACAAAUUUUAGAAAUCCUCAUGAAGAGGCUUCAGAUUCAUAAAAUAUUGUAUAGAUAUGUGUUAGACCAAAAGCGAGGUAAUUACACUACACGACAAUGUGACAUUCAAAUUGAAAAAAUACUCAUUACUCUCAAGUCUAAAGAACACUUAGCUACACUCAAUCUGUAUCGUGACAUGGAUAAUGUUUUUCACACCUAUUUUUACUUUCUACAUACCUUGGUUAAGUUUUGGUCAUUGAUUUUUUUUUUCAAUUCAUAACAGAAAAUUAAGAAUGAUGGGUGAAAAGUAAAAAUAAAUAUGUGAAUAGCACUACCAUGUGACAAUCCUGAAAUUAAACUUUUCCACAUUGCAAUGCAUAAUUAGUCUUUUUAUGCAGUUAGAUAACUUUAGGGUUUACGUGUGAUUAAUUGAACUAUAACAUGAGGUGAUAAUGAAUUACUUAUCCACUUAACUCGUCAAUUAUACAACUAAUUUAAUACUUUACUUAAAUGCAAGUGACGUCUACAGUACUAGGCUCGGUCAAUGUAUGAUUGACUUUAUACAAUGUCACAGUCAUAGUGGUAUUGAAGGAAUUCGGAUCCUCACCGGAUUUUCUUUGUAAGGAGCUUGAAGAUCUGUGAAUCAUAUCCAUUCAUUGUAUAUCGUGCGGUCAUAAAUUAUUUUAAAUAUUUUUAUUUAAAAUUAAAUACAAACAGUAUCUGACAAAAACUAACUGCACAAUGUACGAUUAACGGACACGAUUUACAGAUUUCCAUUAACCUUACCGAAAUGAUCCGGAGAUGGACUCAGAUCCUCUCCGGAUCAUUUCCGUGGGGAUCCUUCUGACCUAUUAAUCUCAUCCGUUGAUACUAAUCCAACGGCCAAAUGAGUUUCGCGUCUUUUCUCUCUUUUCUCCCUUACGCUCUUCCCCUCAACCCUUCAUUCUCCCUCAAUUCGAAGCACCCGACCCGCUGCCACCAUGUUACGAACUGGAUUUGAACCAGCAUCCCAAAAUUCCCCGGAAAACUUCCAUUUAUAUUCUGAUCGUGACUAUGGUCUUCCAACCCAGCAACCCCCAACCUCCCCUGCUGCAAAUUGAAUAAAGUCCGAAUUCAAAGGACCUACAAAAAUAUCACUAAACGUACUGCAAAAAUUAAAGAUUCAGAGAUAAGAAAUACAAAAGUUAACAAGGAAUUUAAUUGGGGUGGGCUGGGGCUGAAGAAGAUUGAGAAGAUGCUGGUGUGGCGUUGGUGGGUGCUUCUAAGUGAGAGGAGAAAGAUGAAGAGUCGAGGGAAGAGAGAGAGAAAGAGGUGAAAAUAAUUUGGCCGUUGGAUUUGUCCCAACGGUUGAUAUCAAUCGGUCAAGAGGAUCCUUACGGAAAUGAUCCGGAGAGGAUCUGAGUCCUCCGGAGAUGACCAAGUUGGGUAUUGAAGGGCAGAAAAGUCGUCCUCACCCGCUCCAUAAAGUAGGGGUAUUUCCGUCAUUCCAUGUGCCUUGAUCCGAAGUUCAACCCAAAAUUUAAGUGGGCCGUCGAUUACUCCUAAGCACGAUUCCCGUGAUUGACGGUGGAUAGAGUGCCGCGUGGUUACUCCCUUCCCCACUCUGUCUACCCCCGGUAAAUCCAUCUCUUCUACGAGGGCACGAGACCUCACUCUCUAUUUCUCUCUCUCUGUCUUUCCUCCUCUGAGCUUCCAAAAUGCUCAUUUCUUCCUUCCGGCUACCGCCCGCCAGCUGAAGCAGUUGCAGAAGCAGCAGCAGCCACAGAGAGAAGCUGAGCAUGGCGGCAUUCCUCAUUGUCCUCCUCACAUCUCUCUACUAGCUCUCACCACCCUCCCCGGCGCCGAAUCCCGACUCUACACCAACUACUACCAAAAAUCGUGCUCGAGAUUCGCUCAAAUCGUCCAAGACACCGUCACAAAUAAGCAGAUCAUGAAUCCUACCACCGCCGCCGCCAUUCUCCGCCUCUUCUUCCACGACUGCCUCGCCAACGGCUGCGAGGCCUCCAUCCUCCUCUCCUCCACCCCCUUCAACAAGGCGAUGGAGAAGCUCGGCGUGUUAGGGAUUCAGACCGGAAGGCGGAGAGAGAUUAGGCACAGGUGUCGAUAUCAACCUCUCAAAGAACAGAGAAGCAGGAACUACUCGCUGUGCACCAGUUCAUAAAUUGGUCCAUCGCUGGUAUGCGUUUUAACUCUUCCCUAUUAGGUUAAUAUUUAUACUUCCAUUAUUUUCAGCAAAUGGUCUCUUGUCCCGGCUUACUUCCAUAUUUCUCGGUUUUGCUCCCACAUUUCUUGGAUUCCUGGGAUUGUAGGGAUCCCAAAAUCGUAACCGUUCAUCCUAUAUCUUCGGUUAAAUUUCGUUAAGUACUAUUUAUAUUUAAUUUUAAAUUUUAACGGUGCACUGGCCCUUGUACUCAUCUCGUGGGUACUAGUUGAAAACACACUUAUUUACUCAAGUAAGGUGAAAAGGUUGUCAAGUUCCUUUAGCGAUAUGGAGGAUAACGUCAUACUUGAUGGUAGAUACUCUCGGAUGUCUUUUGUGGCUUUAGAUGGUUUUAUUCAACGUUGCUUUCUUUGGAACGGGAAACUUUGCGAGUAUUGCAAGUUUUGGGAUUUCAUCAGUGUAUCGGUUCAUUACCGUCUUCAGUGUAAGUGAAGGUUGAACUUUCCUGGGCAUUAACGCUGCUAAGGCACACCUCUUGCGGUCUUCUGCAAUUUUUUGCCCUUUAUUCCUGCAACUGCUGAUUGCUCGUACAAAGUUCGAUUGAAAUUUAAUGAGAGUCAGAGCAAUGGGAUUUUCCAAGUGUUCCCCAAAGAUCUCACAACGUUCGAUUGAAAUUUUGGCACUCUUCUCACAUCUCUUGAUUAGUUGAUACGAUUUAACCAGUUAUCCCAUUUAGUUAUUCAUUGAUCGAUUUUGUAACUACAUUUAACCAGUACAUACUCCACUUUUGGCUGUCUGAAAUAUUUGAUUGGUCGUAGAUUAAAUGUUACUAUCUUCCAUCUCGAAACAAUAAAAGUUGGCCCUAUAUUGGGACAAAUUAUUGGCUGCGAACGACCAGACUACAUGGUUGUUUAAGAGCAUCUUUAACCGGAGUCCCAGCACUAUUUUUGAAGAAUCAUUUACGAACUUAAAGGGAAUAUACUUGUUCCCAAAAGAAAAUUAGUUCCAAUGGAGUGUCUUAUAGUAUAAUCUUUAAAUUUAGAUACUACGAAUUAAAAAAUCAUUGUUAAUUUCACAAUGAGAAACCUAAAAUAACUUUCACAACCGUUGUUUUCUCAUCAAACCAAAGAGAAAAGUAACGGGACCUGCCCCAUUGGAAGCUGCACAGUAUUUUAGAGUUCCAUCACGUGCUCACGUGCUAGGGACUUUCCCCGAAGAAAGAUGGUAAUCUACUAUAAAACCAAGAGUAAUGUUAUCUACAUACUUAUUUUACUUUUAAUACAUCCAUAUACAAUCCUUAAUUGUAAGGUAAUUUUGGCGGUCUCCGGGCAGUCCCUAUAUUAUAGGGAUUGGAGUUCCGAUCCACCGGAAGUCACCAAGUUCUUAACUUUAAGGAUAUAUGGUGGUAAGAACAAGUAUAGGAACAAACAUUGAAGAUGCUCUAAUUGCACGCACAAAACACCCAUUCUUGCCGAUGGUCCCACCCUGCGCCCCUUGCGCGCGUGCGAGCUUCCGAACUCAAGGAUUGCCCCUUGUAAUUGUAAAAGCAAAGAAUAGAAAAAGACGACCAUAUUGUACUGCUGGUAGGUGAACUGGGAAAGAAACAGAACGGUCGACGGCCAUACCCGAGCCCUCAGAUUCACUAGUUAGAUUACUUUGUAAAUUUCUUUGCAUCCUUCCGGAACGUUCAGUCGUUAAAAUCAGCAAUGUAUUAACCUGCUCCAAAUAUUCAUUGCAGGGAGCAAGAGGGAAUAAAUAAUGCAAGUGGGAAUAAUUAACCUGAAUUUUAACACGUAAACGUACAAAAGAAGACAAGGAAAAGCUUCGAGGUCUAGGGCCCUCCCUUUUUCUCCGAGAAACUUUCAGGAAUAAGUUGCGUGGACGACGACCUAGACUUUGCUGUGCAUCGUCGACUUGGGGGGAAGCUUCGUCGUGCGGCCUUUUGAUUGGUGAGACAAAGACGUCCAUAAUAUUUAAUAACGAUAGGAUUGAUUCGUAUUCUAUAUAAAGAGAGAUAUAUUGACCAUUCCGGUAUCCUCUUCUCUCCAUCUACUGUGUGUUUUAAGCAGAUCGGCAAAAGCUUGAAGAUGAACGACCGGUAAGUCAACUUCGACUUCAAACUUCUCCGAUCCUUGUUUUUCUUUGAAUCCUUUGCCAUGAUUUUUCUUGUGUUGUCUUGAUUGAGCGGAAAAUGGUCUGGAAUGGCUAAAAGUGUGUUUUUCAACUAUCAAAAGUUCUUAUGGUUGAAUCUGGCAAAAAAAACUUGCAAAACGCUUUUAGAUAGACGGUAUAAGCUCUUUUCGGAGAAGCAUGUGCUAUGUCCGCCCUCUACAAGCACUUCUAUAUUUUCAAGUGCUUUUUCGAAUAGCACUUGAGUAUUUAAUAAACAUUUCUAUAUGUUCAUAGUAAAAGAUAAGUGCUUAUGAGUAAAGUGAAUCUUACGAAAUACAUUAGCUUAAUAAUCGUCCUUAUAGUUUACCAAAUUGCAAUUUCAUUCUUACAAGUAUUUUGCUAAAGUGGCUUCGUUAGAAAUAGGUAGUAUUAUCUACGCAUUUAUUUUUACUUGUCAUACACGAGAGAGGAUCCUCGCCGGAUCCUCUUUGUGAGGAUUACGGGAAUCCUUCAAUCACAUCCGUUCAUCGUACAUCAUGCGGUCAGUUUUUGUUAGACGCAAAAGUUUCAACAGAAGUUUCAAGCAUGUUUGUUAUUAUAGUUGGAUGCUAUUUGCUUACACCCUCGAUUUAACUUUGCUUCAAUUUUUUGUUGGUGAUGACAGAAUUAGCAGUGCUGGGCUUGAACUAGCAAAUGUGCUGGUGACUUCUCCUCCCCUGCAGCAGUCAUGGGACGCGGUUCUUGAUCAGAUGCAAAAGCUCCCCCCAGCAGCUGAUCCGAACCAAAAAAUGGCCUUAGACAUUAAUGAAACCAAGCACUCAAACACCGCCAUCAUAUCUUUUCUUACUUCACCCGUCACGCUUCACGAUCAACAAACGAUGGUUUCAUCGUUGACUCUCAAGAAUGCAGAUUUUUCUCUCUUUGAGUUUUUGUGCGGCAAAAACAUCCCAAGUUUCUCCGUCAAUGAAUUGGCAAUCAAUUUCUUCAAAUUGAACCUGAAAAACCUCGAUAUUUGGCGAAAAAAGGUGCGUAUUAUUGUCUCUCUGGUAACUGAUAAUGUUUAAUCGUUUUGACAACUCUUAAUAGUGAGAAACAGUUAAAAAAUCAUAAUUAUAUUGCUAGAUUACUUUUCACUUAAUUAGUUUGGAUUCUUUGACAAACUGUUAAUGUUAACGAAAAACGCUUACAAAACCGAGUUUAAGUGUUUUUUCUUUUACUAUGAAAGAAGUUUGAGGAACUUAUUUGUAAAGACUUCUCCGAAUUGAUUAUAUAGAAAUUCAGUAAUUGACUAACUUUUAUGUAAUAUUUCAGCUGGUAGAAAUGUUAGAAAGCAGCAAAUCCUCACGGAUAGUUAUCACUGGACAUUCUUGGAGGUGCUGUGGCUACCCUUUUCACCUUAUGGCUGCUACAAAGCCUUGACUUGUUGAAAGCGAAACGCCUCCUUUGCAUCACUUUCGGUUCACCCUUGAUCGGUGACGAACAACUCCGACAAUGUGUGUUGGAAUUCUCAACAUGGAGUUCUUGCUUCUUGAAUGUAGCCUCCAUCAAUGAUCCUGUACCUAAAGUCUUCCUAACUUCGCAAGGGAGUGGUUAUAAGCCUUUCGGAACAUUCCUACUGUGCUCCUCUUCGGGUGGUUCUUGCAUUGAGGACGCUGAUGCCAUUUUGCAACUAUUGGUGGAAACCAGCUCUCAGUGUGUUCAAAAUCCAGUUCCGAAUUCAGGGACUCAGUUGUUUGAUUACGGAAAGAUUUUGAAUGAUCUCAAGACUAAGGCAUUGUCUAGAGAUGUCUUUGAGUUGGUUGAAGAGGAUAGAGUUCCACUUAAAGCUGGAAUUAAAACACAGUUGGCAGCAAUAUUAGGAGUUCUCAGCUCACAGGUAUCAAACUUUCAACACAAAUAUCUAAUUUGAUGAUGAUUUAGGGAAAUGGUUUCCGCACAAACCUGUUUAUUUCCAUCUCUUGAUUCUUCUUUGAUUUAUUUAAUCCAAAGACUGGAAAUAAACACGGGUGUGCAAGGAGAGAAUAUGAGUUUGCGGAAAUCACAUCCCACGUUUACUUCUAGUUACUAACUUUUCUCUCAACUCCUUUUGUAAAAGUCAUUGCAGCAGCAACAACCCAACAUAGAAUUCGAGAGUCUGGUGAAAAAGAUGGUCGCUCACGAACGUAAACUAGCGGUCCAGAAGACGAUGGUUUACAGUUCUUUCCUGAAAUUGAAUGAGAAUAAAAAGUACAUGGCCAACAUGGAAUGGUACAAGAAGGAGUCCAAAGACAUGGAAAUUGGAUACUAUGACAGGUACAGAAACAAGCGUUACCGGAGUGACGUUAUUGCCGAAGAGUUCACGAAGAAGCUCUCAAUUUAUUGGCAUGACACGGUUACAGAAGCUGAAAGCAAGCCCCAGAAAGAAGGAGCCACAAUGCGUAUCCGUUUUCUUUAUGGUGGAACGAAUUACAGAAGGAUGAUCGAACCGCUUCACAUUGCUGAGUACUACAAGGAAGGUGGAAAAAAUUACAAAGAGAAAAGGCCUCGACAUUUCGUUCUUUUGGAGCAAUGGUUCGAUGAAGAGGAGAAAAAGAAGAAGGAAAAGAGAGAGAGGGAAGAAAGGGAGAACCCGCAACCACGCAGCGCAAGCAAGUCCAACUCAAAAGCGACGAGUGUGGCUACAAGUCUGAAUGAUGAUUCUUGUUUUUGGGUGCACGUCGAGGAAGCGCUUAUCUUGUGCAACGAACUAGCGAGGAAUCCAGAUGGCAGGCAAAAGCUGAUCGAAUUUGAGCGUUACGUGCUGGAUACGCUCAAGAAUUUCGCAGUGACACCUGAUAUUUUCUUGCCGCAAAGCAGCUUCAUGCAAUGGUGGAACAAGUAUAAAGAUAUUGUGGGAAGUAGCUACUCCUCGGAACUCACAGACGUCAUGAGGCGUCGCACUUAUCGCAAUUAUGCAGAUGGGGUCUCGGUUCUUGCUGGUCUAUAAGCCAAGAUAAUUAAGUUUUAAGCAAGCAAUUAAAUCAGAUAAAGCAAGAUUAGUUUUGCUGUAUCGCUCAUGAUCUUCACAGAGAGACGGGCAGUACUUGUUGGUGCUACUACGUUUCAAUAUUUUUGUUUGUGGUUUCUUUUUGUUUUGGGCUCGAGCAUCUAUAAGAAAAAUAAUGUGUGGGGGUAUUGUUUCAAUUAUAAUGUUGUAAUUUCCACUUCAUAAAAGUAAUGACGCUCGUUGUAUUUUGAUUUUACUAAGUGUGAUAAGUACUACCUAAUUAGUAUUUGUAAUAAAGUGAGACUUACUUUUGUCGUGGUUUGUGUUGUAUUAAUCUUCAUAUGAACCUAUAAAGUACAAAAGCUUAAUCUUGUAAAUACAUAUUCUAGCAAUGUGAAGAGUGGAAUUAGGAUUCAAUGCUAAAGCAAAAUACUUACGUAUCCCAUUGUGUAUACCCUUCUAGUGCGUUUUCACACAGCACGCAACGUAUGAUAAGGGUGCGUUUGGUACGUGGGACGGGACGGGACGGAACGGGACGAGGCGUUCCGUCCCGCGUUUAGUGCGCCAAAAAUGGAUGGAACGGGCUGUUCCACGGGACAGGUUUUGGGUGUUUUUGCGUUCCACCUCCCCCCUGGAACGGGUUUGUUCCACGUCUGUGGAACACAAUGUUUUACCAUUUUAAGACAAAUAUACCCCAUGUCUUUUUCAAAAAUGACACCUUCGUUCCGUCCUGUCCCGUCCCGUCCCGUCCCGUUCCGUCCCGUCCCGUCCCGUCCCGUCCCGUCCCGUCUGCGUACCAAACGCACCCUAAAGGAACAAAAAGGUAUACACCUCGAGACAAGUAAGUCCCAUGUGCUAGUAAAUUAGCUUGGAUGUAUGGCUGGUUUGGUAUUGCUGUGCUUUGAAAAAAAGCUGCUAUAAGAAUAAGCGGCUGUGAAAUAAAUCAGCAGAGCGUUUGGUAAACUUUUUUGUAAAAGUGCUUUUGAAAAAAAAAGCAGUUUGAUAGUUGGUCUUUUCAUUAAAGGAGCACUGUAGUUCCGUGUGCUUUGAAAAAAAGCCAGUUUUCCAAAGCUGCAAAUAGCAGCUUCAGCUUUUUCUUUUGAUUUCAGCUUAUUCUCACAGCAGCUUCCAAAAUAAGCCAUUUUUUUUCAGUUUACCAAACACCUAAAACCCUCACAACUUUUUUUCAUAGGUGCUUUUUUUUAAGCACCUCACUCCCAAACUAGGUCGUAAUGUAGUCACGGGAAGCGUAAGAAACAAAGAAAGGAGUGUACAGCCUGGGACAAAGCACAUAUAUAUUUUACAACUACAUGUAUGUACUCUAUGGGUGAGGCAUGGCCUAAGGGGAAGGAUCUCCAUUUUUUUUCAAAAAAUAGGAAUUAGUUGUGAGACUCACUCCACAUCGAACUUCAACGAUCCGAAUCAUCUAUUUUGUAAAUUUUGAUUCAUAGAUCAUUCUUACAAAAAUUCAAGUCCGAAACUAAUUAUCACGAUAAAAUUUGAAUGUUUUAUUAGAACAAAAUGUUCGUCAAUUUUUUUGAAUUCAAUUAUAUGCCUGUUUGGAUCCAAAUUUACACCAUUGGCCCAUGCAAUCAAGGCCUUUGAGUGAGCAUAGCUCCCAACCAUCGGAUGGAAAAGUGAAGAUAAUUUUGUUAUUGUUGAAGGAUAAUAUUAUGAUUUUUAUCAUAAUAAUUAUCUUUUAAUAUGGAUUAUCUGCAUCUUCUUAAACCAGAUAAAUAGGAUGCGAAUUAUAUCCUAAGCAAGCAGUACAGUUCGAAUUGAUUUGGGAUGUUUGACGACACUUGGAAGCUAAAAAUGAAUUUGAAAUUCAUUUGAUCAGGAUGCAUGCAUGGAUGGGUUUAAAGGUGAUGGAAUUAUAUGAUGUGAUAAGCCUAGGAUUUGAUGGUCUUGGAUAAUGAUGAGAUAAGAAACUUAGGUAGGCUAGGCCUUUUUUUGCAUGGUGAUGGGCGUUGUCAUAUGAGUUUGGAGUGAUAAGAAUUGAUGAUGUGAGCACAGUAUGAUUGUCGUGUGAAAGGGCACUUCGAGAUUUCAAAGGGACACCUGUUGUUCCUCUUGUAAAAGUCCACAAGCAUAAGAAGACUAGGGAGAUUUUUGCCGAAAUAUAUUAAAGAUAAUAUCAGUUAUUGUUUUUUAGAGUAUAUUCGGAAAGAGAGAUUAUAUUCACACACCUCAAAUUACUUCUCCCACACCUUUUUAUUUUUUUAAUAUUUUCUACACACCACUAACACUUGAUAAAAAAAUAUUAAAAAAUUAAAAGGGUGUGGGAGAAGUAAUUUGAGGUGUGUGAAUAUAAUCUCCCAUUCGGAAAAGGCCUCUAUUGGAUUGGCGAUCAAGAAGACUUGCUAUAAAUACAGAGGCAGUGGCAACAUGAAAAGUCCUCAUCCAAUUCAACACACAAACUGCCAUGUACAAACUCUUGCUUUACGUGAAACCUUUCAACAACCUUGAGAUUUUAUUUUCUUUUUCCCGCUGACACAUCUUAAAUUUUAAUAAACAGCAUUGUGAAGGCAACCGGUGAACAUCUUCAGUUUGGAUAAACAGCACUGUGCCAUAGAACCAUUCGACCGCGAAGCACCUUCAGUUUGGAUAAACAGCAUUGCUCCGAGACCGACUGGUUACCUAUCCAAGUCUCGGUCAAGAAGGAUUUUCGAGUCCUUAUUGGCAGAUGUCAUCUCAUCAGCCUUCUCGACGAAGUGAGAUGUUACCAAGUUACUACAUUUAGCACCCUGAGAGCCGAAUUUGAUAUUGAACUUCGCAGAACUAGCAGCCCUUCAGGCUCUAGAACCCGAAGGCCGAGACGUGUUCCUUUCUCGGCCACAGUCGUGAGAUUUAGAAGUCAACAACACGCCCAACGCAACAUCAACUCAUUUUACUCACCGGUCGAGCUCGGCCGUCGAGUUGGCACGCCCUACACACAACCGAAGAACGUAGUUAGCUUUUUAAUUGUUCGGCCUGUGCGCCACGUAGGCUUGAUAGUUUUUAGGUUGGAGAAAUUAGGUUCACAUCCUUCUUUUUGCUACUCCAUUGAUUAAAAUCCUAUUCAUUUUCAAUUUUUGAUCAAGGUCAUUGGGUAUUAAUAACAUCAUUAAUCAUUUGAAUAAUAAAAUAUUUUUAUUUUUAAAUAUAUUCCUUUAGUGUUAAAAAUGUUAAAAUUAGUAUAUUUAUGUUUAUGGCUAAAUUUUUUAUCAUAUAUUUUUAUUUUUAGUUUGUACCUCUUUUUAAUUUGUACCCAAUUUUCUUUUCAUUUUUAAUUUGUACCCAUAUAUUAGUUUCUUUAUGUGCCCAUAUUUUUUUAAAGUUUUAUUUGUAUUUGUACCCAUGUCUAUAACGUCACGUGACAUUGUAUAUUUAAUCAAUUAUAGAAAAACUACAUAUGGUAUAUUUAUGUUUUAUGCCUAAACUUUGUAUCAUAUAUUUAUAUUUUUAGUUUGUACCCACUUUUAAUUUGCAACAUUUUUUUAAAUUUGUAGUAUUUUCUUUUUAGUUUUAUUUUGUACCCAUGUAUUAAUUUCUUUUAGUGCCUAUAUUAUUUAAAAAUUCAUUUGUACUCGUAAUUUUUUAAUCUUUUAUAUGUACCCUAAUUUAUUUAUAAUGUACCCAUUCUUCUUUAUUAAUGUACCACUUUGUUAUAUGUGAAAUGUACCAAUUUUUUUAACAUUAUGGAUACAUUCUUUUGCCAUUUAUUAUUUCUUAUUUUUACAUAGUUUUUAUCCAUUUAUUCAAGGGAGUUUUAACGAAAAGCCCACGGUACUGUUCACUUUAACGAAAAACCACAUUUUUACACUAAAAAGUCAAACCUGCUACUAUUCACUUUAGCCUUUAUUUUGUCCUUAUCGUUAAAACUCAAAGUUUUUAAGCCCUUUUCAUUAAUUUUCCUUUUAUUUUCAAUCAAAAUGUUUGAAUUUUUUUAUUGUAACUGUUUCUAAUAGUAUUAUAAUGAGGGAUUUUAAAUUUAUAGGAUUAUAAAUCUCAUAAAAUAUCAAACAAUUAAUGUCAAAACUAUAAAAAUAUAAAUAUUAAUUGUAAUAUAAUGAGGUGUACAAAAUCAAAGGACUUUGAUCAAACUUUGAAUACCAUUAUGGUUUUAGUCAAAGAAUAUUAAGGAUUAGAGACUACAUCCAAAGUAUCCCUUUUAGGUUCAAUAAUGCCUUAAAUAUUUUUUAAGGAAAACUAAUAAAAAAGGCUUGAAAACUUUGAGUUUUAAUGAUAAGGACAAAAUAAAGGGUAAAGUGAAUAGUACCAGGAUUGACUUUUUAGUGUAAAAAUAUGAUUUUUCGUUAAAGUGAACAGUACCAAAUGCUUUUCGUUAAAGUUCCCUAUUUUUUAUUUGACUAAUAUUUUACAAAAUUAAUCAAUGAAAAGCAACUUCAAAAAUACACGAUUCAAAUCGUUAAAAUUUAAUGUGGUGCCCUUCCCUUAAAAUGACGUGGUGAUUUAGAUAGACACUAGAAAUUAGGCUCGUGCGUUGCCACAGGAACCAACUUUUUCAGACGUAAUCGAAUGAAUAAAUUCAACACAAUUAUGAACAAACAAAGGGAUACAUAAGUGAAUGAAAUCGAUAAAAUAAGCAAUUUUGCUUUUAUAUACAUUCAAGUGAGUUGACAUAUAAACACAUUGUACAAUGAGUGGGAAGAAACUGAACGUCUUUGAUUAGAAAGAGAUGGUUUCAAAAAAAGUUCUGUUUCCUUAAGAAACAAAAGAAACAUUUAGUUCACAUAUAUAAUGUGUCAUGCAGUGUAGACGGCCAUUUCAACAGAUAAUUAAAAAUAGAGAGUGUUGAGGACUUGUUCAAGUAGUUAAUUUUGUAACCACAACUUUUCAAAGGCAAAAAUAAGCAGAAGGUUUGUUUCCAUACCAAACUGAAGAAACAGAUGCAAGCUACAGUUUACACAUAUUUUGCCCCUGCAGUUAAGACAGCAAAAUAUAUGCCCUGCAAUCUACGUACCUCACUUGUGCAACAUAUGCCUUACACUGGAAAAACAUCAAAAAUUGAAUACAAAUUUGUAAAUCAUGGACAGAUUUUGUUUUACAUUUUUAUAAUCAAAUCAAACGGCAAUGUAGCACGUAAAAUUACAAACUUGAAGCAACCAGAGAGCAAAAAUUAAGAUGUAGAGAUAUCCUCAAACUUGCAACAUAUUGUAUGGAAGCUAACCGUAGAGGUUUGUGAAGCAAACUGCGGCAUGAGUUGCAGUCAAUUGAACAAAAAUAUAGUAGUUCAACUAAAAAAUGCAUAUAAACACAUUUAAGUUAAAUAAAUUCAACACAAUUAUGAAAGGAUACAUGAGUGAAUGAGAUCGAUAAGAUAAGCAGUUUUGCUUUUAUAUACAUUCAAGUGAGCUAGCAUACAAACACAUUGUACAAUGAGUGGGAAGAAACUGAACGUCUUUGAUUAGAAAUAUAUGGUUUCCAAAAUAGUUUUGUUUCCUUAAAAAACAGAAGAAACAUGUAGUUCACACAAAUGUGUCCUGUAGUGUAGGCAACCAUUUCAAUAGGUAAUGCCAAGAAAAGGAAUUAAAAUAUUAGGCAUAUAAAUGCAAGCUUACAGAAACUUUGUUUUUGUACACUUUCUUCUCCCUUGAAUGACAGUUUGUUUCUUAUCUAGAAAAAUAAAAUGAGCAGGUCAAUGAUACUCACAUGUGCAAAAUGCUAAUCCUAUGGUCUAAAGCUAACUGAGUUUUUAAAUGUAAAAUCUCUAAUUUCACUGCAUUUGGAUUGAUCACAGUUCGUGACUUGUUAAACUUGAUAUCUCCUUGUACAUUUUGGGAACUUGACGGCUUAAAGAAGUGCUCAUAAAAGCAAAUUACACAAUAUCUACUAAAAAACUUAGAGAAGGGACUCAAUUAGUCAACAACCAGGUGCCUCACACUUAAAUAUUAAAGACCAAAGGGAGAAAACGAAGCCAAACUCUUAAAAAUUCGUUGGCACACAUGCUUCAUUGGCUCAAUUGAAUGUAUAAUACAAUAAUUCGAACAAUAGCUCAGAAACAGUGCUAAAAUUCCAUUAGCACUAAUCACACACUGUUGGAACAGAGAUCCUAGCAAAGCUACACCAAUUAAAUGACAGACUAAAAACCACAAACAGGAAAAAAGGAAAAACAGAGUUAUCAGACAGCAUGAUUCAAAUAUAAUUUUAUUAGGGUUUGUAAAAGCACAACUCAUCCAGCACUUCGAACACACCGUGGGAUUUAAAGACCAUAGAGUAACAUGUUGGAUUCAUCAUUUUUUGAGAAGAGACAAACCUUUCAUUUAAGCUAACACAAAUUACAUAUCAAAGGAUAAGGAGUACGCUCUAAGAACAGACGGAAAUAAAACAAACACAUAACAGACAUAACUAUCAUACCAAGAAGCCCCCAGACACUUACUAUUGGCUUUGAUAUCAGUUUUACAAUCUGCCUUUGAUAUCAAUUCCACAAUUGGGAAUUGAUAUCAAUCUUAAACCCCACAGGCUAUUCAUGUUUGAGAAGGCAUCAGACAUGCCCGUCAAAAUCAUUACCAAGCUUAGAUACUUUCAGAGUACGUGAAGUGGGGUCACUUACAUUCUGUAUCAAAAAACCUGACAGACGCCAAUGAAAUUUUAAUAGCGGAAUUGAACCUAAUUCAUUAACUGUGGUUCGUGCAUGGUCAUGAUGAUAUGAGGUGAAUCGCUCUCUAAAAUCAGAUCUCGAAGAACCCUAACAGAAGCCAACACCUUGGAUGAAUGAAUCACAUUUAAGUUGAAUAAAUUCAACACAAUGCAUAAAUUGCCUUAAGAUCUGCUAAACUGAAGUAACAAAAUGACAAAACUAUACAAAUUACAGACCAGAAACAAAGCUAUAGCUGACUGACCUUAUGCCAAAUCCCUCGAGCUCUUUUUCAAUUAGACGCUUGUGAGUUAUUGGCUUUAUUGCAUCAUGAACAAUUAAAAUGCAAUUGCAUGUCCUAGCAGUGCUGAUAACCAAAAUAUUGUUAGGACAACAAACGGUAUCAAAGUUUUCAUCUGAAGCUAUUUUGACUUUAUGCACACUGAGAUGAAGAACCAAUAUAUAUUAAUUAUACCUUUGGGAUAUUUGGGUGGUCAAGCUUAUGCCAAACAUCAACCUCUUGCUGAAACGACGCCCGAAGAGCAGCAGUUUCGGCUAUCCUCCCCCCAAUCCAAUAUCUUUAAUUUUUCACUAUAAUAUCAAGAAUACAUAAAGCCAUGAGAACAAUAUUGAUAAGAAAAAUACAGGAUAACCUACGGUUAGGGGUUCAUUAUUCAAUCAAAUAACACCGUUUUCUUACACUCAAUAAAAAAAUUUAUGUAUUUCUAAAUUUGUACAUGCAGUCACAUGUAUUCUUUUUCUCCAAUGAAAUAAACCCCCCCCCCCCGGAGUCUAAUAACGAUGAAAGUGAUUGACCCCAAGAACCCCAAACAUGCCAGUCCUAAGAACACAAAGCAUAUAAACAGUUAACCACACACUUAAGCACAUUUGCGUCUGCACAGUGGCCAUUUAUUAGGUCAUAAUACACAUGAGUAAACCCUAAAACACAAAAAUCAAAGUUACAAACUUUCAAUACAAACCAAUCGAGAAUGAAUUUAUACCACACAUUCUGGCAUAAAAGAAAAGAAAAAUCAAUACUAAUAUUUGACUGCAAGCAGAUCUUGUGGGACUACUACAAAUAAUAUAAACCAGUAGAUUUCCGUAAUAAAAUAUAACCACAGAUGAAUGAAGGGCUAUUAACUUAAUAUUUAGAAAUAACCGUCAGUCCCUAGCUAUUAUGCAUGCCACUAAUGAAAGGAGGGAUCACCAUUUAUUAAGGUACCUGGAAUUCACCAAUACCAGGAUAUUUCCAACCAUGCUGUUCAGGAUAAGAAGGAUAUUGUAGCUCUCCACACGGACCUAAUCCAACUUCAAUUUCUGAUAUUAUUCCUUCCUCAAAAAACUCAUCAAAUUCAACUCUGAAGCUCCUCAAGUGGUCGAAGUAAACCUGCAUUGGUUCCAUUAUAAUAUAACAAAAUAGAAACUCUCAGCAUUAAACAAUAAGAAUGCAUAGGGUCUGAUUCUUAGAGCAUACAAAUUCUUAGAAAUAUAGAACAUAUAAGUUGGAAUAGGUUUAGCAAUAGUUUCUUUUAAAACAUGAGUGGAACAUGUAAAAAAAGACAAAUAUAGGAAAGGAGAUAUGACAAUCCAUAGAAAUAAAAGACCAACAUAACUAAGUAAUUCUAGAAUACUAUACCUCAACAGCAGUGCGGCCUCUUAAAACCCGCUCUUUAUCAAUUCCCCAAGUGAGACAUUCAGUGUUGCGUUUCCCUUCUUUAUUAGUAAAAUAUAUAUAUCAGGAUUCUUUUGGCCCAUUUCUGUCACCCAGUGAGAAAGAGGGAUAAGUACAUCAUCCCCGACAUCGCCUCCACACUCGUGGAAUGACAUCACGACCUAAACCAAUAUACAGCAAGACAAUGCACACCAUAUCCAACAUGCAUAUUCAAAGAAAAUAUGUAGCGCAGAAAAUCUCUCUUUUUUGAAAUGAGUUUUAACUGAGUCUCACAAACUAAUUUACAAAAAAGAAAGCUAUCAGUGGGUUACUUUUCAGCAAUCUACUCAAGACUAUUUUUCCCCUUACCUAAGACAACAGUCAGAAUAAACUUAAUUUAUAUACAAUGCAAGCCAAAAGAAGCAACAAUUGGUAUUCAACCUCACUUCCAGAAAAUUACUCAAAAGACAAUGAGAUAAAGAGUUUCAAAAAUAUGAUGCAUAUUUCAAUCGAGCCUCAUUAACAACAGAAAAUACAGCAGCACAAAGCAUAACAGAAACUUGGAAAUGGAAAAGGAACCUGCAAUUAGGCUUCUUCAGAAGCAAAAAUGGCAUUAUGGAACCCAGAAUAAGAGAGAAUCACACAGAGAGAGAGAGAGAGUGGAGUGAGCCGGUCUGAGCAAAAAUAAAGAUACUGAGCUUUAGAAAGUAGGAAAGGAUGUUGUUACCAUCCACUAAUUGUAUUGUUCCAUUCAGUAAAGCAACCAAUGCAGUUCUAGGCUCAUAGUUCCUAUUCACAUUAACCCAAGAAAAUUGAGCUUCAAACUGAAAUUUAAAAUCAACAUUGACCCAAAAUACAACUUCAAAUCAAAUUUAAAAUUUAUAUUGGCCCAAGAAAUAAAAUUUGUUCCGCUUUAAACUCAGAAAUUCGAAACCAACCCAUCACCUAGAAAAGUACCAAACAGCAAAAGAAAAGGAGGAGAAAGGAAGACACCACAUUUUGCAACCCUUUGAGUUUUUGAAGUCUAAAUCUUUCCUCUUCUGCUUCUUCAAUGCUUAAAAUUUUCACUCACUGACUAUUGUCUGCCAUUCUUCUUUACUCGGCUUUAAAAAUAAUUUCCAUAGAAUAAAUAAGCAACAAUUUUCUAUGAAUAAAAAGAAGUGGUAAGAAUUCUCCCUCAGAAAAUUAAAAAAAAAAAAAAGAAUGCUCACAAUUUUGUCUAGCAAAUACUCCAGCUUUGUAUCUUCCUAACAUAGGAUUUAUUUUUUUCCUGUAAGAAAGAUUAUUCUCUUGUUGCCCGUUGGAAUAUAAGGGAAUGUAUAUUAUUUUCACAUUUGAAAAUAACUCAAGUUUCUUACAAUAAAAAGUAAAAUUGUUUGCAGUGUGUCUUUGAGUACUAACAAUGCGAACCCCAAGUGACAAUGCAAUUUCCCGUUCUAAAGCGAAGGAAAAAGAAACGAAAAAUUGAAGAAACCAGCCUUUUUGUUCAGUGUGAUGGCUGACAAUUUAUCUAAUGGGAAUAUGAAUAAUUGUGUUACUCGAUACAAAGUGCAAAUAAAAAUUGAAGAAAGCACUUGAAGAUGAAAUGAAGUGUGGGUAAAAAAAAAACAAAUGAAAAUUGAAAUUGAGAUAUAUGAACAAUGAAAAUUGAAAUUGAGAUAUAUGAACAUUCAUUCUUAGAGAUGGAAGGGGAGAGAACAAAAGAUACUAAUCAGCAUAUUGCCAACAUAUAUCUCAGAAACCACCAGAUUAGUUGUAAGGUAGAUUGUUAAAGCUGUUUGAGAAACUUUCGUCUACAAUAUUAUGAAGGAAUGCAAACUAAGUAAUUGGUAGCUGAACGAAAUUUUGGCAAGGAUUUACAAAGUAACUCUAUGAAAUUCAUCAAUAAAUCAUCUAUACAGACGCACAUGUUCCCAGUCACAAUGAUUAAAAUCUAAAACAUUUAUUCAUGCAUUCGUGCAAGGGAAAGAAUGGACUCAGCCUGGUUUCUAUCAAGUGUCAACAAAAGAACACAAUUCAAGUUGCACAAAGCCAAAUUAAAUGCAUAAGUGACAUAAAAAUUGAACAUACCGCAUGAUAGUCCUCAAUCUUCAUCAACCGUGAAUCAUGAAUUAUGGAUAUUAUUCAGACCACGAAUGUGUAAACCCUCCAAUUACGGUUGGUAAUCGGGUUCAAAAUAAUGUUUGUAGAAGUGUGCUGAUUCCUUGAAUAAAAAGCAGAGUCUGCACUAUUCUCACUUUGUCACCCUAAUCAAUUAGGUCAAAUAAGGAGCACAUUCAUCAUCCAUAUCAGUCCAUAUAAAAUACGCAAACAUUAAAAAAAAAAUUCAAUCUUGACCAUUUUUGCUAUGCGAAACUGACGCUUAAUUCUUUUUUAAGAAAUUAGCAUAAUAGUACACAAAAUUUACUUGAAUUUAGUCUCCAAUUGAACAAAGGCCACAACGAUAUAAGAAUUGAAUGAAAGUGGUAUACAAAAUCAACUCACAUCAUCACCACCCAUCAAAGGAACACGGAAUGUGGGGAUCAUCACAGCAGUUCCCAAGGCCAAAAUGUAGUGCUGGAAACCCAAAGCAAUUGUUUCCCCUGUUUUCAAAACAAAAAAUGAGAACCAAAUUGGGGAAAUUUUAAAACCCAACAAAAAAGUCGAGAUUUGGGUUUGAGAAAAGAUGAAUAAUAAAUGAGAAAAGGUGAAAAAUAAACAUACCCUAAGAGGGAUUUGAGUCAAUGCCUUACCCUAAGCCUUGGAGUUGGUCCAUUGCUGGAUGGCUUAUCUCUUCUGGUUUUGGAGCUGCCAUGGCUUCUGCCCAAUUCAAAACCCUUAAUCUGCCUCUAAAUCCAAAAGGGUUUUUACCAAAUGAAUCAAAGAACACUGAUUUGAGAGAGAAAUUCUCCCUGGGUUUUGUUCAAUGAAUACAAAAAUGGAAGUUAUUUUUACCAAUUUAGAGAGAGAUUAGAGUCUAUGACAAUGAAAAGCACAAAAGAGAAAAAGCUAAUGGAUCAUGGAGGUAAAAGAGGACUGAUGACCACACAACCCUCUCUCUUUCUGUCCCUCGAAUUGCACUCUCCCUGUCACCGCGGCCCAUUCCCUCAGAACCCUACCCCCAAAGUCCUGCUCAACCCUCUAGUACGAAUUGGACCUUUGCUCCACCCGAAAAAUAUUUAAAAUGUUCUUAAAUGACUACUUUCAACUAAAAGAGUAGAACCAAAUCAAAACCAACAACUUUCAACUAAAUUGCACAAAAGAGUCAAAAUUUAAUUGCUAUACAGAACUAUCGGUUCAAUCGAAAACAAUCAGAAUUCGAGACCCUACCUCCUCCAUUCUCUGAGAGCGAAGCCCUCCUCAGGCAGCAUCUCCGACGGCGCUGGCAAAAUGGGAUCGUCGGACCCGCCAAACCCUCCAUCAAAACCCUGACCGUUCGAUUCGGGCCUCAAGUAUCCCUACUGGUCGAAGCAGUAGCAGAAGAAGAAGAUGAGGAGGAAGACGAUGGACGUUCAUAAUCGAAGAGUUCGAAGGGAUUUACCUUUGGAUUCUUCGGCUUUCAGAUGGAGUUUGCUUGUGUGUGGGCCUGCAACUUCGUUUGCAGGCGUGAUGUUUCCAUGGAAUUUCUCUCGGGUUUACAUAGACAACAAAGCGAGAGAGAAAGCUUUUGCAGAAGGGGAAUUGUGUUUUGUCGAGGUUUUGAGUUGUAGGUAGAGCUAACGAAGGGAGAUGAGAGAGAGAAGUGGAGCGGCUAGGGUUUGAGUAUGGAAGAGAUGAAAAAUGGAGAGAGCACCUGUUUUGGCUGAAGCACGGCUCACCGAACGAAGAAUAAAGAGGCGGUGGCAAUUUUGUAAAUAACUCUCAAUUCACUGUUCAUUUCUACAGUGCCAUUUCCCAUGCUUUCUUUAGACUAAAGUAAUUGUCAAUUUGCCAUGCCAAAUAUUAGAAAAGUAGAGUGUGGACACGGGAAGAAAACCCAGCUUAGAUAUGGGACCCACAUGCACAUGCAAAUGCAAAUGCAGUUGUCAUCAAUCUCAAUAAUUUUCAACAAACCUUUAUGUUUUGAUUCAAACAGUUUCCCACUUUCGUGCUUUUUGCUUGGUGGGCAAGGAGCAGUUUUUUCUCUUUACUUUAUGAGUUUAACUGCCCAUUAUUAUUAUUAUUAUUAUUAUUUCGAAAAUUAAAAUUGGUUUCAGAAUUUUCUUUUCAAUUUUUGGUUUUCAAAUGAAUCUUAUAAUGUUUAUACGGUCAAAAUACAUUAACGUGUGCAUGAACAAGGAGGAGCACGUCUAAAUCGAGAAAAAAUCUAAAUUUUUGUAUGUGGUUCAAUAUUUUAAUGAAUAGAGUAUUAGGUUUUUACCUAUGCGUUCCGUGUUCAAAACUCUCCAAUUUUCUAAAUUAUUGUAAUAAUUUCGAACAUCCCUUAAUAAUAUGGUACAAAUUUAUAGCUACCGUAAUGUUCCAAUCAAACAAACAAUGACAUGUUUACAUUUUUCAAUACGUGACAUUAUAUAGUUAAAUUGAUCACGGUGCUACGCGGAAGAGGAUCCUCUCUGGAUCCAUUUUGUGGGGAUCCUAGGGAUCCCUACAUCAUAAUCGUUCAUCGUACAUUAUGUGAUCAGUUUUCGUCAAGUACUAUUUGUGUUUUAAUUUUAAAUAGAAAAAAGUCAAAUGAUUUUUAACCGCAUAAUACACGAUGAAUGAAAGAUAUGAAGAUCCGUAAGAUCCCUACAAUUUGGAUUUAGAUAGAAUUCAAAUCCGUGCUACAUGACAACAAAACCAUUAUAUAUAAAUUGCUCUCUAAAAUUAACUCGACAUCGUCCUUUUUUAAGUCAGGUAUAGCACACAAUUAGCCCCUGGAUUUGAAAAUACAACUGGAUCACCGCCAUUUAUACGAUUUAAUGGAACGCUAGUCCGAGUUGGACGGGGCCCAUUUCCUUCCUAAUAAAACAGCCAAGUUGAUGUUGGACUGUUGGAUUGGUGAUAGUGAUGAGCUUUCAGCGCGCUGUUUAACUUUAACGCUGCAUGAUCCAUCACACGACGGACAAUAUAUGUGCCAGAUACAACGUUGCACCUUUUAACCUUUCUACCCAGUAUCCACCUAAUUAUCUCAGCCUCCAUUUAAUGUCAAUUUAAUAUCUACAAUCUUUUGCUAAUAGUUGGGGGGUUUUCUUAACUAAGUUAUCUGCGACUCUAUAAUGUGUACAAAACUGUGCAGGAUUAACCACAAUCGUACAAUGAUGACUGAACUCUGAGAAAUAUUCCCAAAUGGACCACACUUAGGUGAUUCUGGACAAAUCUAUGUGUGAUUGUCACACUGUCAAAUAAUUUUAAUCAGAUUUAAAAAAGAUUUCGUGUUGUUGAACCAAAGUUGUAAGAGACUAGAGGAAGUCAGUCCUCGCUAAGGGAAGGAAAGGUUGAUAUUGGUGUCACGCUCGACCUUGUCGAGGGGGAUGAAGGUGCGGUCGAUUCAAUACUCGAAUUAACCAAAGAGUGAUAUUGUCUACACACCUUCUUUUAAGUAUCACACACUCUUUGUUAAUUUAUGUCAUAUGAUCAUCUUUAAUUCAUUCGAUUCGAUGACAAAAAAUUAAGAGUUGUGUGUGAAAGGUAAAAAGAGGUUAGCAACACUCUUAACUAGAGGUGGCAAAUCAACACGUUGGGUUGUUAAUGGGUACUCAUUAAGACUCAUUUAGUUUGAUUUCACCUUACACCAUUAUCACCAUUACAAACCCCACCUUUAUAUUAUGAUGAUAUCAAAUUAAACGAGUCUUAACGGGCACUCAUUAACAACUCAAUGUGUUGAUCUCCACCUUUACCCUUAACCAAAUAAUGACGAAAGUUUGACAUUUCAUAUCGUCUUCUCUCAUAAGCCUGAUAGUCAUAAAAUAGGAAUAAGGAUCAUCUCCGGAUCCUCUUUGGGAGGAUCCCGAUGAUCCGUGUAUCGUGUCUAUUUAUUGUACAUCAUGCAGUCAGAAAUCAUUUUAAAUUUUAUUAUUUAAAAUUGAACACAAACAGUAUUUGACAAAAACUAAUCACACGAGGUACGAUGAACGGACACGAUUCACGGAUUCCUGGAAUCCCCACAAAGAGGAUCCAGAUUCAUAAAAUAUGGUAUAGAGUUAGACCAAAAGCGACAUAAUUACACCACAUGGCAAUGUGACAUUCAAACCAAAAAAUACUCAUUACUCUCAAGUUUAAAGAACACUUAGCUACACUCAAUAUGUACCGUGAUAUGGAUAAUGUUAUUAACACCUAGUUUUACUUUCUACAUACCUGGUUAAGUUUUGGCUAUUGAUUUUUUUUUUUCAAUUCAUUCGAUGAGAUAACCAAAAAUUAAGAAGAGUGUGUAAAAACUAAAAAUAAGUAUGUGAAUAGCACUACCAUGUGACAAUCCUGAAAUUGAACCUUUUCACAUUGCAAUGCAUAAUCUUUUUUAUGCAGUUAGAUAACUUUAGGGUUUAGGUGUGAUUAAUUGAACUAUAACAUGAAGUGAUAAUAAAUUACUUUCCCACUUAACUCGUCAAUUAUAUAACUAAUUUAAUACUUUACUUAAUUACAAGUGAUGUCUACACUACUAGGUUCGGUCCACGUAUGAUUGACUUUAUACAAUGUCACAGUCAUAGUGGUAUUGAAGAAAUCUGAAUCUGGCGGGAUCUUCUUUAUCAGAUUCUCGGAGAUUCGUGAAUUAUAUUCGUUCAUCGUAUAUCGUGCGGUUAGAAAUUAUUUUAAAUAUUUUUAUUUAAAAUUAAAUACAAACAGUACUUGAUAAUUGAUCACAUAAUAUACGAUAAACGUACACGAUUUACAUAUCUCUAAAAUUCUCGCACCAUCUGGAGAGGACCCAGUUGGGUAUUCAAGGGCAGAAAAGUCGUCCUCCUCACUCACCUCCAUAAGAUAGGGGCAUUUCCGUCAUUCCAUGUGCCUUGAUCCGAAGUUCAACCCAAAAUUUAAGUGGGCCGUCGAUUACUCCUAAGCACGAUUCCCGUGAUUGACGGUGGAUAGAGUGCCGCGUGGUCACUCCCCCCCGGUAAAUCCAUCUCUUCUGCUACGAGACCUCACUCUCUAUUUCUCUCUCUCUCUCUCUCUCUCUCUGUCUUCCUCCUCCUCCGAGCUUCCAAAAAGCUCAUUUCUUCCUUCGAGCCACCGCCCGCCAGUUGAAGCAGUUGCAGAAGCAGCAGCAGCCGCAGAGAGAAGCUAAGCAUGGCGGCAUUCCUCAUUGUCCUCCUCACAUCUCUACUAGCUCUCACCACUCUCCCCGCCGCCGAAUCCCGACUCUACACCAACUACUACCAAAAAUCGUGCCCGAGAUUCGCCCAAAUCGUCCAAGACACCGUCACCAAUAAGCAGAUCAUGAAUCCCACCACCGCCGCCGCCACUCCCCGCCUCUUCUUCCACGACUGCCUCGCCAACGGCUGCGACGCCUCCAUCCUCCUCUCCUCCACCCCCUUCAACAAGGCGAAGGAGAAGCUCGGCGUGUUAGGGAUUCAGACCGGAAGGCGGGGAGAGAUUAGGCACAGGUGUCGAUAUCAACCUCUCAUAGAACAGAGAAGCAGGAACUACUCGCUGUGCACCAGAUCAUAAAUUGGUCCAUCCCUAGUAUGCGUUUUAACUCUUCCCUAUUAGGUUAAUAUUUAUACUUCCAUUAUUUAAGCGAAUGGUCUCUUGUUCCGGCUUACUUCCACAUUUCUCGGUUUUGCUCCCACAUUUCUUGGAUUCCUGGGAUCGUAGAGAUCGUAACCAUUAUUCAUACAUCCGUUUUCGUUAAUUACUAUUUAUAUUUAAUUUUAAAUUUUAAAUUUUAAAAUAAUUUUUAAUAUAUGAUGAACGGUUACGAUCGUGCGGGAUCGCUACGAUCCUUUUCCACAUCUCUUGGAUACUAGUUGAAAACACACUUAUUUACUCAAGUAAGGUGAAAAGGUUGUCAAGUAUCAUACUUGAUGGUAUAUACUUACAGCUGUCCGACGUGAGAAUUCCGUUAAUCUUUGUAAGUCCUUUCUCUUUUCUUUUUGGAAAAUAUUUAUCGGAUUGUUGGAGAAAUUUACUGAUAUACAUUGCCCAGUCUUUUUGAUAAUUUUACUGCUCAUCAGAACAAUCUUUUCUAGCAAACCCUACUGACAGUUUUUAUCGUUAUUAGGUCCGGAAUACAGGAAGCCGGAUGGAAAUUGGUAACAGCAUCAGCCACUUCGGAAUCAUGAGUGCUCAAGUUGUCUUUGUGCUUUUGCUCUUUGCUCUCACGAACAUAUAUACGAAAGAUAUCGACAUUGGUUCAGUUGACCGCUCCUCUCGGAAAGCAAUGUAGGUCGUGUUAAAUUGGGACUUUGGGCAUCAAAAUAAGUCACCAGUGUUCAGGAAAAGCGAGCAUUAACGCCGCUAAGGCGCACCUCUUGCGGUCUUCUGCAGUUUUUUGCCCUUUAUUCCUGCAACUGCUGAUUGCUCGUACAAAGUUCGAUUGAAAUUUAAUGAGAGUCAGAGCAAUGGGAUUUUCCAAGUGUUCCCCAAAGAUCGCACAACGUUCGAUUGAAAUUUUGGCACUCUCCGCACGUCUUGAUUAGUUGAUACGAUUUAACGAGUUAUCCCGUUUAGAUAUUCAUUGAUCAAUUUUGUAACUAAAUUUAACAGUACAAACUCCUUUUUUGGCUGUCUGAAAUAUUUGAUUGAUCAAUUAAAUGUUACUAUCUUCCAUCUGGAAACAAUAAAAGUCGGCCCUCUAUUGGGAGAAAUUUUUGGCCGCGAACGACCAUACCACAUGGCUGUCUAAAAGCAUUUUUAACCGGAGUCCCAUCAUUAUUUUUGAAGACUCAUUUACGAACUUAAAGGGAAUAUGCUUGUUCCUAAAAGAAAAUUAGUUCCAAUGAGAGUGUCUUAUAAUAUAAUCAUUAAAUUUAGGGACUACAAGUUAAAAAAUCAUUGUUAAUUUCAUAGCGGUUGAUCUAAAUGGUAAAAAAACAAAAUAAAACCCCAAAAAUACUUUCAUACCUCUUGUUUUCUGAGCAACAGACGAGAAAAGUAACGCCAUCUGCCCCAUUGGAAGCUGGUAUUCUAGAAUCCCAUCACGUGCUGGGAACUUCACCUGAAGAAAGUAGGGAUUCUAACAUAAAACUAAGAAUAAUGCUAUCUACAUACACAUCCCUACGCAAUCCUUAAUUGUAAGGUAAUUUUUGGGAUCUCCGGACAGUCCCCUAUAUUAUAGGGACUGGAGUUCCAAUCCACUGAAAGUCACCAAGUUCUUAACUUUAAAACAUACGGUGGUACGAACCAAGUAUAAGGACAAAUAUUGGAGAUGCUCUAAUUCAACGAACAAAACGCCCAUUCUUGCCGAUGGUCCCACCCUUCGCCCCUUGCUUGCGUGCGAGCGUCCGAACUCAAGGAUUGCCCCUUGUAUUUGUGCGCGCGUGCGAGCCCUCAGAUUCACUCGUUAUAUUCCUUUGUAAAUUUCUUUGCAUCCUUCCGUGAACGUUCAGUUGUUAAAAUCAGCAAUGUAUUAACCUCCUCCGAAUAUUCGUUGCAGGGAGCAAGAGGGAAUAAAUAAUGCAAGUGGGAAUAAUUAACCUGAAUUUCAGGAAGCCGAGGAAAAGCACCGAGGCAAAGGUCUAGGGCCCUCCCUUUUCCUCCGAGAAACUUUCAGGAACAAGUUGCGUUGACGACGACCUAGACUUUGCUGUGCAUCGUCGACUUGGUGGGAAGUUUCGUCGUGGGGCCUUUUGAUUGGUGAGACAAAGAAGUCCAUAGUAUUAAUAAUAACAAUAGGAUUGAUUCGUAUUCUAUAUAAAGAGAGACAUUGAUCACAUUCUGGUAUCCUCUUCUCUCCAUCUACUGUGUGUUUUAAGCAGAUCGGCAAAAGCUUGAAGAUGAACGACCAGUAAGUCAACUUCGACUUCAAACUCCUCCGAUCCUUGUUUUUCUUUGAAUCCUUUGCCAUGAUUUUUCUUGUGUUGUCUUGAUUAAGCGAAAAAUGGUCUGGAAUGGCUAAAAGUGUGUUUUUCAACUAUCAAAAGUUCUUGCGGUUAAAUCUGGCAAAAAAAACUUGCAAAACGCUUUUAGAUAGACGGUAUAAGCUCUUUUCGGAGAAGCAUGUGCUAUGUCCGCCUUCUACAAGCACUUCUAUAUUUUCAAGUGCUUUUUCGAAUGGCACUUGAGUAUUUAAUAAACAUUUCCAUAUGUUCAUGGUAAAAGAUAAGUGCUUAUGAGUAAAGUGAAUCUUACGAAAUACAAUAGCAUAAUAAUCGUCCUUAAAGUUUACCAAAGUGCAAUUUCAUUCUUACAAGUAUUUUGCUAAAGUGGCUUUGUUAGAAAUAGGUAGCAUUAUUCACGUACUUAUUUUUACUAACAAGAGAGGAUCCUUGCUGUGAGGAUCCUAGUCGGAUCCUCUUUGUGAGGAUAUGGAAAUCCUCCAAUCACAUUUGUUUAUCGUAUAUCGUGCGAUCGGUUUUUGUAAGAUAUUGUUUAUAUUCAAUUUUAAAUAAAAAUAAAUUAUAAUGAUUUCUGACCGCACGAUGUACGAUGAACAUAUAUGAUUGGAGGAUCCGCCCAGGAUCCUCUUGAGACCUACACCUCUUAAUUUUAGGGUCGGUAGAUCAAAUGAAGUGAGGAAGAUCAAUGAACAAUAAUUAACAAGGGUGUGUAAGAGGUGAAUAUGGAUUGGGGAAUAACACUUUGCUAGAAAUAUGAUGAAAUUUCUAUAGAAAACUAGCUUGUUUGAAACAUUUUUAAACCAAUUCUUAGUAAAAAUGCAAGUAAAGUUUAGAAAAGUACUUGCAGUGCUUCCUUGCAAAAAGCAAAUAGUUUUUUUAAGGAAACACUUCAAAUGUUUCUUUAUAAGUGCUUUUGAAAUCUAAAAAUAUUGUCACUAAAAAACGCUUUUAAUUAUUUUAAAAGUACUUUUAAACAUGUAAUUAAAAAUACUUUUGGUGAUUAGACUGACAUUUUCAGCUAUUUCAACAGAAGUUUCAAGCAUGUUUGCUAUUAUAGUUGGAUGCUAUUUGCUUACACCCUCCAUUUAACUUUGCUUCAAUUUUUUGUUGGUGAUCAUGACAGAAUUAGCACUGCUGGGCUUGAACUAGCAAAUGAGCUGGUGACUUCUCCUCCCCUUCACCAGUCAUGGGACGCGGUUCUUGAUCAGAUGCAAAAGCUCCCCCCAGCAGCUGAUCCGAACCAAAAAAUGGCCUUAGACAUUAGUGAAACCAAGCACUCAAACACCACCAUCAUAUCUUUUCUUACUUCACCAGUCACACUUCACGAUCAACAAACGAUGGUUUCGUCGUUGACUCUCAAGAACGCAGAUUUUUCUCUCUUUGAGUUUUUGUGCGGCAAAAACAUCCCAAGUUUCUCCGUCAAUGAAUUGGCAAUCAACUUCUUCAAAUUGAACCUCACAAACCUCGAUAUUUGGCGAAAAAAGGUGCAUAUUAUUGUCUCUCUGAUAACUGAUAAUGUUUAACCAUUUUGACGACUUUUAAUGUUAGUAAGAAACAGUUAAAAAUCAUAUUUAUAUUGCUAGAUUACUUUUCACUUAAUUAGUUUGGAUUCUUUGACAAACUGUUAAUGUUAACGAAAAACUCUUACAAAACCGAGUUUAAGUGUUUUUUCUUUUACUAUGAAAGAAGUUUGAGGAACUUAUUUGUAAAGACUUCUCCAAAUUGAUUAUAUAGAAAUUCAGUAAUUGACUAACUUUUAUGUAAUAUUUCAGCUGGUAGAAAUGUUAGAAAGCAGCAAAUCCUCACGGAUAGUUAUCACUGGACAUUCUUUUGGAGGUGCUGUGGCUACCCUUUUCACCUUAUGGCUGCUACAAAGCCUUGACUUGUUGAAAGCGAAACGCCUCCUUUGCAUCACUUUCGGUUCACCCUUGAUCGGUGACGAACAACUCCGACAAUGUGUGUUGGAAUUCUCAACAUGGAGUUUCUUGCUUCUUGAAUGUAGCCUCCAUCAAUGAUCCUGUACCUAAAGUCUUCCUAACUUCGCAAGGGAGUGGUUAUAAGCCUUUCGGAACAUUCCUACUGUGCUCCUCUUCGGGUGGUUCUUGCAUUGAGGACGCUGAUGCCAUUUUGCAACUAUUGGUGGAAACCAGCUCUCAGUGUGUUCAAAAUCCAGUUCCGAAUUCAGGGACUCAGUUGUUUGAUUACGGAAAGAUUUUGAAUGAUCUCAAGACUAAGGCAUUGUCUAGAGAUGUCUUUGAGUUGGUUGAAGAGGAUAGAGUUCCACUUAAAGCUGGAAUUAAAACACAGUUGGCAGCAAUAUUAGGAGUUCUCAGCUCACAGGUAUCAAACUUUCAACACAAAUAUCUGAUUUGAUGAUGAUUUAGGGAAAUGGUUUCCACACAAACCUGUUUAUUUCCAUCUUUUGAUUCUCCUUUGAUUUAUUUAAUCCAAAGACUAGAAAUAAACACAGGUGUGCAAGGGGAGAAUAUGAGUCUGCGGAAAUCACAUCCCAUGUUUACUUCUAGCUACUAACUUUUCUCUCAACUCCUUUUGUAAAAGUCAUUGCAGCAGCAACAAACCAACAUAGAAUUCGAAAGUCUGAUAAAAAAGAUGGUCACUCACGAACGUAAACUAGCGAUCCAGAAGACGAAGGUUUACAGUUCUUUUUUGAAAUUGAAUGAGAUUAAAAAGUACAUGGCCAACAUUGAAUGGUACAAGAAGGAGUCCAAAGACAUGGGAAUUGGAUACUAUGACAAGUACAGAAACAAGCGUUACACGAGUGACAUUACUGCCGAAGAGUACAAGAAGAAGCUCUUUAAUUAUUGGCAUGACAUGGUUAUGGAAGCUGCGAACAAGCCCCAGACAGAAGGAACCGCAAUGCGUGUCCGUUUUCUUUUUGCUGGAACGAAUUACAGAAGGAUGAUCGAACCGCUUCACAUUGCUGAGUACUACAAGGAAGGUGGAAAAAAUUACGUAGGGGAAAGGCCUCCACAUUUCGUUCUUUUGGAGCAAUGGUUCAAGGAAGACGAGAAAAAGAAGAAGGAAAAGAGAGAGAGGGAAGAAAGGGAGAACCCGCAACUGCGCAGCGCAAGCAAGUCCAACUCAAAAGCAAAGAGUGUGGUUUCUAGUCUGAAUGAUGAUUCUUGUUUUUGGGUGCACGUCGAGGAAGCGCUUAUCUUGUGCGACGAACUAGCAAGUAAUCCAGAUGCCAAGCAAAAGCUGAUCGAAUUUGAGCAUUACGUGCUGGAUACACUCGAGAAUUUCGCAGUGACACCUGAUAUUUUCUUGGCGCAGAGCAGCUUCAUGCAAUGGUGGAACAAGUAUAAAGGGAUUGUGGGAAGUAGCUACUCCUCAAAACUCACGGACGUCAUGAGGCGUCGCACUUAUCUCAAGUAUGCGGAUGGGGUCUCGGUUCUUGCUGGUCUAUAAGCCAAGAUAAUUGAGUUUUAAGCAAGCAAUUAAAUCAGAUAAAGCAAGAUUAGUUUUGCUGUAUCGCUCAUGAUCUUCAUGGAGAAAGACGGGCUGUACUUGCCGGACUUCUUGGUGCUACUGCAUUUGAAUGUUUUUGCUACUACAUGGAGAAAGACCAGCUUUCUUGUGAGACAAAUAAUGUGUGGGGGUAUUGUUUCAACUAUAACGUUGUAAUUUCCGCUUCAUAAAAGUAACGACGCUCGUUGUAUUUUGAUUUUCCCAAGUGUGAGUGCUACCUAAUCAGUAUUUGUAAUAAAUUGAGACUUACAUUUGUUGUAGUUUGCGUUGUAUUAAUCUUCAUAUGAAC
This 47272-nucleotide long non-coding RNA is filed under the name Malus domestica (apple). RNAcentral describes it as "long non-coding RNA (MDOM_LNC007860)". Lineage: Eukaryota; Viridiplantae; Streptophyta; Magnoliopsida; Rosales; Rosaceae. The record is from RNAcentral.